AUAGGAAAGUCCUUGGGUUUCGCCAUCACUGUAGUCCAAAAUCAACUUGCCGCUGUUCCGGGUGUCAUCGUAAUCGUGCGAAUUGAGACAGUAAGCAAACUUCUUCACACCCAUCUGCAUCGGCAACGAGAACAUUGUGCGACCGAACCCCGCAAGUGCGUCAGAAGAAGGUUCACGGUCAGCGGAUGUUGUACACCCAACAAGAAAUUUAUGAAUUGUUUUCCCGGGAAAGUCGAGGUUUUCUAAUAGAAAAAACCCAGAUGCUGCUCCUGUGCCAUACUGAAGAGUGUAUUGUGGGCAAGCGUGGGAGCAUUUUUUGGAAUUGCCAUUGCAGCGGGGGCACCCGAGGUGAACAUCUGGGGAGGAAGUGUUUGCACAUUUGGGAUCUCUGCACCCCAAGAUCUUAUCAGAUGACGAAAGUUCGGGAUUGAAGAUGGGGACCUUUUUGGGGUUUGAAAAAGAACAGUUAGUGCAUGUGUAGUGAGUUGUGCACGGGGCCCAUACUACAUGACUUCCUGUGUCCACCAGGAAGGAGAGUUUUUGUGGAGGAGUGCCGAAGCUGAGAGGGAUGGUGUGACCUCCAUGACUAUGAGGAAAAAGAGAGGUUUGUAUGAGAGGGCUGGCCUUCCCAUGUUUCAAAUGAUGGGAUCUGGACAUGGAUGCAGUGGCAAGGUGUUGGAGAAACAGCAACGGUUCGGUAGAUGGGUUCUUUGUAAAUGUUGGUGUUAGAGGGAUGGUAAUGGUGGCAGGUAUGUUAUUUUUGGAGGAAGAUGCCAAGACAAGGCGAGAGAAGAGAGUAAAGACAGAGAAAAGCAAAGUAGUAAAAGAAGCCAUAGCUGUGUAGCUUCAGAAGCGCACACCAGUGAAAGUGGUAGAGAGAGUCGUUUAUAUAGACAAUGACAAGCGUGAUUUAUAUGUAGUUAUUUUAAAAUCCAUUGUCAAUUUUAUAUGGGAUUUUCAAAGUGCAGAGAAACAAAUGGAGAUUUGUCUUGUAAAAAAAUUAGUAAAAAGAUUGUUUGUAAAAUAAAUACAAAAAUAUGAAUUGUCUUUUUUUUUCUUUUCUGGCAUUGAAUAUGAUCCGGUCCUACCCAUCUUACAUUCAUACCCACUGGGCCCAAGCCUACUCCUGAAAUAUCAAGAUCGGAUGGAUAAAAGUCUCCCAUUCUCAUUUUGGUUUCUCCCUUCAAUCCUUUUCUGUGUUUUUUUUUUUUUUUUUAACUUGUUCUGAAGUUGUCUUGGUUCUAUUUUUCCAACCUUAACAUUCGAAGGGUAUGAUAUGGGUUUAAUAUCCGACUCCACCUUUCCCUUUGUAAUCUCAGAUAUCCUGCACGCUUUACACUUGAUAUUGAUAAUUUUAAUCACAUAAUCCAGUUUUAGUUGUUUAAUCUAAAAAUGUUUUCCAAUAUUUGAGUUCUUUAGAGUGCAUUUGAUAGUGAUUUUGAAAAAUGUUUUUAACAUUUUUAAUACUUAAAAAAUAAAAAUCUUUAAAUAUUAGAAAAACUAAAAACACUUCCUAAAAUCAUUGUCAAACGCACUCUUAAUCUGAAAAUAUAUGAUAUAGGUCACUAUCAAUACAAACUUGGGGCCACAUGUGUUCCCUCCCACCAAAAUUGGUAUAUAUUAUAGAAUUAAUUCAUCAAUACUUAUCAUAUUUAUGAAUUUAACCAUUCCUAUAUUUUUGUUUGAAGAAUAACCAUUUUUUGACGUAUUUGUCCUUGAUUAUUUCAAAUAUUUACGUAUAUGUUUUAAAAGAAAAAAAUAUUUUUAUAAGAAAAAAAUAUUUUUAUAAGGAAAAAAUGAGGAUAUUUUUAUCAAAAUGAGACAAAAAAUGAAUGAAGGGAUUAAAUUUCCAAAACUAGGUUUUCAAUUACUCUUUUAAUUAAAUAACUCUCUAUUAUAUAAGACUACAAAAAAGUGGAGGAAGGGAAUAGUCUCAUUUAGUUACCUAGUAAAUGAGGAUUGAUUUAAUUUUUUUAAAAAAAAUUAGCAAGAAUAAUAAGCCUAUACUUGCCUCUUACUAUUGCCUUAAAUAUAAACUAAAAUUCAAACAUUUUCUAUUAAUUUUAUUAUUGAUAUCGUAAAUAGUACAAAAAUUCAAGUUUUGAUAUUAUGUUGAAUUACCAAUUUUUUUAAUAAAUAUGCAAACUAGGGAGAAGUGAUUCAGGACCUCCCACCCAUACCCACGAGUGGAGAAAUAGAUCAAGGUGUUGACUAAUAGACUUAAAAUGGUAAUGAACAAAAUGAUUUCAAAGUCCCAAAAUGUCUUUGAGACAUAUUUUAGAUGUAAUAUUGAUUACAAAUAAGGCUCAAAGUUGAAAAACAAUAAAAGUGGUGUCUUAUCGAAAAGGGUAUUGCCAUGUGAAUUGGAAGUUUUUGUUUGCGGUGCUGAGAAAUAUGGACUCCUGGUAAUUGAAGUCCCACUAACAAAAGCUAGCACAAGGGAAUCAUCAUCCUCACUCUUUGUGGACGCAGGACUGCCUCACGAAUGAAGAUAAGAUAUCCACCUUCCCACGUUUCUUGUAUUGAUAUUGACGUCAUCUUCACGUUUACCGAAGGUACUCCAUUCCUCUUCUCGAAAUCUAUGACUAAAAAAGGUGAGGAUAAGAAGAUGCAACAAUGUUUACAUAUGGUUAUAGGCUUGUAGCUGCUAAGCAUGCUUGGCAAAAUUUAGCCCUAUUUGCCAAUGGGCCUUCAGACGGAGAGAUGGGUAUUUGUCAAAAUAGGCUACAGAUUUUUAAUUCUUUUAGCCAUGCGUUCCAGAACAAUACAGAAUGUGGUAGACAACAUUAGCCAUCAGUUUCCCAUAUAAAUGGAUGUCAUCCUCAAAUCAAUUCUUCUUGUACUUUCUUUGUGAUUCCUACAAUUAGAACAACAUGGCAUGAGUAUUCAUAUAAAUGAUCAGUAUGAAUGGAGAACGGAAUUUUGAAUGAUAAUAAGAGAUAUUCAGGUAUGGUCCCAACUAGACUAGUAGUGCUUGUAUGAGUGUAGACCACUUGGGUCUCAACAUCCUCACUGCUCGCUACCUCACGUGGAUCACGAUUGUUGGAAUGCAUAUUUUUUGUGAGCUUCAUGUUUGGGGUUAGCCCUUUUAGUUACUUCUAAAUUGAAGUCAUUUUAAAAAUAAUCUUAAGAUAAAUUUUAAAGUCUAAAGUUGUUUCUUUAAUACAAGUGACAUUAAACUCUAGUAUUUUUGAAAAAUAUGUUGUAUAUGAAACGGAGGAAGCUGAGACAUACUCGAAGGGAUUUGGCCAUAAGUCCACGACAUCAUAUUUCUAGCACUACACGUUACGACAUAAUUUGCACCCGAGGGCCCCAGCAUCGUACGUAUGGGGAAAGUAUAACAUUACAUUGACCCCACAUCUCACUUCCAGUGGCUCACAAGCCUCCACCUGUCUUACCUUCGAUGCGGUCACGGUCAUCAGCUCGCUUUCUGCCUUGUUCUACUCAAUGUUACCCCACAAAGAAUAUUGGAAUUUGAAAAGCACCCGAGGUGAUUUAAAAAGUUAUUUUUAAAUCUACAAUAUUUGGAGUAAAUCUAAUUGAAAGUUGUUUUUAAAGUUAUGUUUUGAAUUUUUUUUUCAUAUUUACACUGAAAUUUUCUUUUUAAAAGAUAAUUAAAAUAUCCUAAAUUUGAAAAUAAUUUUUUAAAUGUUAUAUUUUAAUAAAUAUUUCAGUAAAGAAAAAUAAUAUUUUUGUGAAAAAAAUAUGAUAAACAAUAUAUACAAUAAGCAAAGUCAUCAGUCAAAAAUGGUCCCAAAAACAAAUGCCGCAUCGCGGAGCAUGACAGUUACCCCGCCCCUUACGUUGCGGACAAAGCCAAAGAAGUUGAUUAUAAAGCCAACGAAGUGAUUUAGCGGAGGAGCGACCACUAACAAAAGUUGAAACUACCAAAAGCAGAAAUGUGAAUAUGUGAUGGUGGCGUGGUCAUCUUCCUCACUAUCGAUGCAACGUCUCCUUCUUUUACCUCUAGUGCUGCCCUGCUCACAUAGAUUAUUUUCGUUCCUGGGCCAUCCAUUUUCCAUAUCAGAAUAAUAACCUGUCAAUUCAUAAAGUUGCCGACUUUUUCUCUACUGGACAUUCUAACCUAAAAUAGAGAGUUGGAUUUUAUUUGUGGCUUUUUUUUUUCUUUUCUUUUUUUUUUUAAUUUUUAAUUUUAAUUUGGAGUCAUUAUUGGAGUAAGAUAUCCAAGUUAGAUGGUCUUGUCAUUAUAUUUAUAUAUGUUACCUGUGAGGUACUUGGAACCUACACCAUUUUAUGUCCUAUAAAUCAUGUGCCCUAAAAAGCUUUAGCAUAUACCAUAUUUGAAUACCAAUUAAAUAUCAUGUCAUUUUGCAUAUACAAGACUUUAUUGAUCCAACUCCAACCUCGCACUCAUGUAAACAUGGAUAUAUCCAACCAAUUCGACAGGGUAGAAAUUUUAUUAUGGGGUAAAAUGGGAAAAUCAUAAAUCAUAAUAAUAUUAGAUAGAAUUUCAGAUUUUAAAAUCAUUAUUUCCAGUAUCAUUCAAAAAAAAAGUAUUUAUUAAUAUUAAUUUAUGUAAUUUUUUUUAUAAUAUAUCAAAUUAAAUAACAUAAAUACUAAGAAAUAUGAACAAAAAAAGCUUUUGAAAUUAUGGUGGCUUCUCCAUUAGGUUACAUCAUAGGUUCAAACCAUCGAACUUUGGCACAUAAAAUGUUGUGAUAGACCUAAUUAGGUCACUAAUUUCUUUUACAUUUUAUUUUCAAAAUUACUAGUAAAUUUAAAAAUAUAAAAAAAUGUGUCAUUCUUUUUCAUUUUUUAUUAUUUUAACAAAAUUCUAUUUUUAUUCAUAUUUGAUUUCAAAUGCGAGGAUAUUAAUGAGCUUUGAGUAUCAUAUAGAAUUUCAAAUAUAUUGUGAAUCCAAAAAUUAAAAUUGAAUUAUUGUAAUUUCCAAUCAAAAUUCAUUAUAACUCACUAGUUUACUAAUCUUAGAAAUGAAUGAAACUUUCUAUGCAUAGGGACUUACAUGUAAAAAGAGUUAUGUCAUCCUUUAUUGGUAUGGACGCGGCUGCCCAAUUUUAAAAUUCAGUAAGUUAUCAUUGUCACGUUAAUUAUUCUUCCUUCUCAUGCACCCCACAAAACAAUAAACAACAUAAUUUGCCUCAAGUUAUAGAAGCGCGACUUUUUUUUUUUCAAGAUUACUAGUAAAUUUAAAAAUAUAAAAAAUAUGUCAUUCUUUUUUCCUUUUUUAUUAUUUUAAUAAAAUUCUGUUUUUAUUAAUAUUUGAUUUCAGAUGCGUUGAUAUUAAUGAGCUUUGAGUAUUAUAUAGAAUUUCAAUAUAUUGCGAAUUCAAAAAUUAAAAUUGAAUUAUUAUAAUUUCCAAUCAAAAUUGAAUUAUUAUAAUUUCCAAUCAAAAUUCAUUAUAACUCACUAGUUGGCUAAUCUUAGAGAUGAAUGAGACUUUUCAUACAUGUGUGUAAAAAGAGUUAUGUCAUCCUUUACUGGUGUGAACGCAACUGCCCAAUUUUAAAAUUCAGGGUUGUCAUUGUCACAUCAAUUAUUCUUCCUUCUCAUGCACCCCACAAAACAAGAAACAACAUAUUUUUUUUUUGUCACAUCAAUUAAUUGAUUUUUUUUUUCAAGAUUACUAGUAAAUUUAAAAACAUAAAAAAUAUGUCAUUCUUUUUCCUUUUUUUAUUAUUUUAAUAAAAUUUUGUUUUUAUUAAUAUUUGAUUUCAGAUACGAGGAUAUUAAUGAGCUUUGAAUAUUAUAUAGAAUUUCAAAUAUAUUGCGAAUCCAAAAAUUAAAAUUGAAUUAUUGUAAUUUCCAAUCAAAAUUCAUUAUAACUCACUAAUUCACUAAUCUUAGAGAUGAAUGAGACUUUUCAUGCAUAUAUACUUACAUGUAAAAAGAGUUACGCCAUCCUUUACCAGUGUGGACGCCGUUGCCCAAUUUUAAAAUUUAGUAGGUUAUCAUUGUCACAUCAAUUAUUCUUCCUUCUCAUGCACUCCACAAAACAAGAAACAACAUAAUUUGCCUCAAGUUAUGAAAGUGAGACUUUUUUUUUUUGUCACAUCAAUUAAUUGAAUUUUUUUUCAAGAUUACUAGUAAAUUCAAAAAUAUAAAAAUUAUGUCAUUCUUUUUCCUUUUUUAUUAUUUUAAUAAAAUAAUGUGUUUUAUUAAUAUUUGAUUUCAGAUGCGUUGAUAUUAAUAAGCUUUGAGUAUUAUAUAGAAUUUCAAUAUAUUGCGAAUCCAAAAAUUAAAAUUGAAUUAUUAUAAUUUCCAAUCAAAAUUUAUGAUAUCUCACUAGUUUGCUAAUCUUAGAGAUGAAUGAGACUUUCCAUGCAUAUAUACUUAUAUGCAAAAAAAAAAGUUACGUCAUCCUUUACAACACGAUUGCCCAAUUUUUAAAUUCAAUAAGUUGUCAUUGUCACAUCAAUUAUUUUUCCUUCUCAUGCACCUCACAAAAUAAGAAACAACAUAAUUUGUCUCAAGUUAUGGAAGUGGGACUUUUUUUUUUGUCACAUCAAUUAAUUGACUUUUUUUUUUUUGUGCUUUGUUUUAGACAAGGUCGAAAAUAUCAGAUAAGGACGAAAAUAUUGAGAGAUAUCGGUCAUGGCCCUCCACGGAAAAAAUCACCAAAAUUUUAGCUAUAUAUCGAUGAUGUGUAAUGUCUAAAGUUUUGCAAAUUUUUAAUUUUAGUAUAAUGGGCCAAAGGCAUUAGGCCCAGCCCGCCUACAGUAGUGGACGUGUGCUGCGUAAGGUAACACCUUACAUAGAGACUAUAAAGCUUUCAAUCUCUCAACGUUUCAAUGUGUAUGUAUGUGUUUAAAAUUGUUUAUAUAUAUUAUACAUUAUAAUAUAUUUUAUAAAUUAAUUAAACUAAAAUUAUUAUAAAUAAUUACCUUAUAAUAUAUUUUGAAUACUAAUUAAAUAUAAAAUCAUAAAUAAAAUUAUCAAUAUUUUUAAAUAAAAAUAUUUUAUAUAAAAAUAUCCAAUGAUAUUUCUCCGAUAUAUCUCAUGUGUUCAUAAAAUUCAAGUAUAGUAUAUCUUUAAUUACCAAUAUUUUCAUCUUUUGUUUUAAUUUAUCUUAAUGCCUUAAAUAGAGUAUUUGAUUUUAUUUUAUUUUUUCAAUUGAACAAUAAAAUAAAAAAAAAAUAAAAAUAAAAAUAAAAAUAUGAAAGAAUUCAAUUUAAAAAAAUAAAAAAUUAAAUAUAAUAAAGAUUACUCAAAAUUAUGAUUAUAUUUAGAAAAUGUUUUUAAAAAUGGUUAUGAAAAAUAAUAGUUGACAAUUAUUUUUUUAAAUUAUUUUAUGAUGUUUUUAUAAGAAAAGUUUAUUUGAGAAUAUUUAAAAUAAUAUAAACUUAUUUUUAUAUAUUUUUAAAAUAAUAUUUAUAUAUAAUAAUUUAUUUUUUAAUCAUUCUUUAUAUUUAUAUAAUUAUUUAUUAAAAUUGUUGUGAGAAAAUAAGUAAAAACAAGUAAAAUAUGUUAUAUAUAAUCUUAUUUUAUAUUUUUAAAAAUUGAAAACCGUAUCCCAUUUUUUUUUGUUACCAAAUAUGUUUUCCUUUUUUUGGUUCUUGAAAACAUAAAAUUAUCUUUGAAAUAACUUCCAACAAACCCUACACAUUUCAAAGUUUUUUAAUAAAAAGAUAAAUUUAAAACAACAUGUACAAAAAUUUUAUUUAAUAUAACCCUAUUUUUUAUAGUUUCCUUUACACUUAUCAUCAUGGCUUCCAAUUUUAAUUACAAUUAUGAAUGGUAAGAGGCAAUUGAAUUCAAUGUACUACAGGUACAUUAUGUACUAUUUUAUCCAACAUUAACUUCUAGAAAUAUUUUAUUAAAAUAUGAAAUAAUACCUAUAUUUAAGAAAAUAAUUUUCAUAUAUUAAAAAUUAUACACAUUACUAUUCAAUAAGAGAUUAAAAAUUAUAUAUAUAUUGUUUUUAAUAAUCCAAUAAGCCUAAAUUCUGCAAUGUAGAGUGAUAAAUAUAAAUAUGAAAUACUAAAUUCAUAUUUAAGAAGAGUAGUAUUUUAUUUAGACAUGAGAUUAGAAACUGCUCCAACAAUACAAACAUGUACUUAAUAAAAGCUGAGAAGUUUUGACAAAAAAUAUUACGUUUUAAAUAAUCUAUAAAGUAAAUUAAAAUACAAAAUAAUGUCCAAUUUAGUGCAUUAGGGCCCUAUAUGCCUUCAUGUCAUAAAAUCGAAGUUGGUAAUUAUGAUUUAUAAUUUUUUUUUUUUAAAUGGUCAAAAUUGUAGUCAUCAACCAUGAAUUAACUUUAAACUUAAAAUCGUAGUUGAUAACUAUGACUUUGACCAAUUUAAAAAAAUGUUCAAAGCCAUAGUCACCGUGGUUGGUAACUAUGGCUUUGAACAUGAUUUUAAUUUAAACUAAAUAAAUUUAAAUUCACUCACUAAUUAUCUUUCUAUGUAAUUCCAUUUCAUAUAUCAACAAUAUCCUACCAAUGUUUGAAAUAUCAGUAAACAUGGAUAUAUUAACAAUAUCCGACCAAUGUUUGAAAUAUCAGUAAAUAGUAAAAAUUCAAAAUUCAAAAUUAUUAUUCAAUAAUUAUUUGAAGAAAAUUAUUCAAAAUUCAUGAAAAUAUUUGAAAAAACUUCAAAAAUGAUAAAAUAAAUAAAAAUACACAUGUUAAAGUUAUUUUUUAAGUGUAAUUGAUAUAUGUAUGGUUAAAGAGAAAAAUAUCGAUAAGUAAGGAUAUGUCAGUAUUAAUAAUUUAUUAUUUAUUUAAUCAAAUUAAUUUUAAUUUAUAAAAUAUUUGAACUUAAUUAUUUUUUUUAUAUUUUAGUAUUUUUGAAUCAUUUUUAAUAUUUUAAAAUAAAAAUAUUCAAAAUUAAAUAAAAUUAAAAAGAUAAAUAUAAAAAAUUUAAAAGUGAAGUGGUAGUAAUUUUUUUAAAAUAGGAUUAAUGAGAUAAUGAUGAUACAUUUAUGUAGACCCCCUUUAGAGAGCAAGGACGUUUAGUUUUUUUUAAGGGAUUUUUUUAUGGCAUGGGGGGGCCCUUUUUCUGCUGAAGGGAAGCCGGAUUAGACGUGCAAGCAUGGAUGGCCAGAUGGGUAGUUGAGGAAGCCAUGCUGCUGAUGUGAGGAACAACAAACGGAGGAGUGGCUUGCCAAGGAAGAUAGGAACAGGGGAUGAGAGAGAAAAGAAAAAAGAAAAGGAGUUUUAGCGGGUAGAGGAAGUAGAGAGAUCGAGUGAGGAGCUGGUGCGAGAACAUGGGGGUACGGCAGAUUUCGAGAGAGAGAGAGGUACCAGAGGAGCAAGGGGAGAAAGCAGAGGAGCUUUUAAAAUCUGGCUGGUAGAGGAGGCAGAGAGGGCGGUAAGAUAAGUGAGCUUCAUUGGAAAGGAGUUUCACAGGUAUGGAGUAUCGUUUUUUUUUUAGGGUCUUCCUCAUUAUCAUUGUUCCUCAUCAUCUUUUCUUACUACUUAAGCAUUGUUAGUUUGUCUGGUUGUAGAUUGAGUUUUGCUGAAUUUGAGUUUGUUUUUAUGCUUGCUCUGUUUUGGUUCUUUUCUGCCCUCUUUGAUUUCUCCUGUCAAUAACUGAUGUAUGGAUUGUUUUUGAGCUUGAUGUUUGAUUAAUCAUGCCACUGCUCUCUACUUGUCUCACCUGUUUAGACCCAUUAAAUGUAGCAUGAGAUGGAGUCUUAAUUAACGGACUUUGAGUGUGCUCUGUUUCUUGAGCCUUCCCCUUUUGCUUUUGAAAAAUACCAACCAUUAUUAUGUAAACUACCUGAAAGUCCCGGGACUAUGGUAGUAUAGGAUGGAAGUUUGAGGCAUCAUUUAGGUUGCGGAGCCUUCUAGAUUUUCGCCAGCACCAGUCAGCAUGUUCAUUGCUGACACACAAGCUGAUAAGCUUCAUGGAAAUAAUGUCCUCGGGAGGGAGGUCCGGCGAGGAGGAUGAAAUUCUUCCAUAAGUGGCAGCCACUGUGACAUGUAAAAGAUUAAAAAAAAAAAGUGAAAAGUGGCAAUUCUAAGGUGACCUGGGAAUCACCAUAAGUGGCAUAAACAUGUGACCAAAUUUGAUUCCUACAAAUUCUUUUUUUUUUUUUUAAAAACGAUCCUUAAAGUCCCGGUUUUUUUAGAUAACAUGUCAAGUCCAAAUUUCAAAUGACAACUAAAAAUUCGCAUUUCCGAAACUCCGUUUUUUUUUAAAAGAAAAGAAAAAAAAUUAUUUCUUCAAGAUUCAAUUCUCAACAUUAUUUUCUAAAAUCAUAAUUUUAAAUUUAACUUUCCAAGGUUCAAACUUUUAAAUUCAAUUUUUCAAAAUCUCGACUUCCGAAUUUAAUUUCUCUCCAUUUCUUUAAUUAUUUAUUUUUCAUUAUCAUUAUUCUAUUAAUUUAUUAAUUUAUUUAUUUUAAAAUUCCAUCCUUAGACAAUUUAUCAAAAUCCCGACUCCCGAAUUUAAUUUCCCGUUUCAGAAUUUCUAAUGUUCACUAAUCAUUUAUUUUCGUUAUUAUCAUUCCGUUUAUUUAUUCAUUUUAAAAUUAUAUCUUUAAACAAUUUUUCGAAACUCUUAUCUCCAAACUUAAUUUCCUAUUUUCAAAAUUCUAAUUUUCACAUUUAUUUAUUUAACCAUCAUUUCGUUACUAUUAUUAUUAUUAUUUAUUUAUUUAUCUAUUUCUAAAAUUCCAUCCUUAAAUAAAUUUUUCAAAUUUCCGAUUUCGGAUAUUAAGUUCUGGGCUUCAAAAAUUCCACUAUUCAUUUUUUAUUCGUUUAAAUAUUAUUUCGUUAAUUAGCAUUAUUAUUCCAUAUUUAUUUAUUUAUCCAAUCAUUAUUAUUUUCGUUAUUUUACUCAUUUAUUUACUCGGUUGUUCGUUCAUUUAAAAUUCCAUUCCUAAGUAAUUCAUCAAAUUUCCAAUCCUUAAGUCCAAUUCCCAAUUUCCCAUACCCCUAACUUCCGCAAUUAUUUAUCCAACCAUUAUUACUUCGUCAUCAUUAUUCCAUUCAUUUAUUUAUUCACUUAUUCAUUUAUUUAAAAUUCCGUCUUUAAAUAGUUCCUCAAAAUUCCAAUUUCGAAAUUUAGUUCUCUAAAAUUCCAAUUCUCUAAUUUCCGAACUUAAUUUUCAAUUUCCCAUGCUCCAAUUCUCGUAUUUAUCUCGUUACUUACUAUUAUCAUUAUCACUAUUAUUUUAUUCAUUAUUUCUAAAAAUUCUGCCUUCGAAUGAUUUCCAAGAUUUCCAAUUUUUAUAAUUCAAUUUCCAUAGUUUCUACUUCUCAAAUGACUUUCAAUUUUGAUUUCUUUUAAAAUUUAAUUUCCAAGGUCCCAAUUUUUGUAAUUGAUUUUUUUUAAAAAUCCCGAACUCUCAAAUCAUUUUCAAAAUUCCAAUCUCUUUCAAAUUUAAUUUCUAAAAUUCUCAUUCUCACACUUAAUUUCUAAAAGUCUGAUCUUCAAAUAAACUCUAAAACUCCAAUUUUCAAGUAAUCUUCGAGACUCCAAUUUUUCAAAUAAAUUUCAAAAAUCCAAUUUUCUCUCAAAUAGUUUUAAUUUUACUCUAGUUUUCAAACAAUCUUCUGCUCCUCUUGAUUUUAAUUAGCAUGAAUGAAUUUUUCAUAAUUCCAGAAUAAUGGAAUCUGUGACAUUAAUUCAUGCAAAAUAAACGGGCUUUGCUGGGGGUCCUACAUAAGUGAUUUUAUGAUUGAUUGAUUGAUUGAUUUGAUUAUCACACAUGAUUAAUUGAUUCUGCUCUAUGACAUGCAUGAGAUUAUUCUUUUAAUUGUGUACUAACCCUCUUUCUUGAUAGCGCAUUGAUCGAUUGAUGCCAAGGUAUGCCCCGUUCUCACUUCGGUCGAUUCUUUAUUGAGUGUUUUGAUUGCCCCAUGUGCAUGAUCACCCUGAGUAUUCAUUGAUUUCCACAUCAAUUGUCACAUCAGCUUCAUUUUAUUAGUAGAGACCCGACUUUAGGGACUUAGAAGGGUGCUACGGUUCUUAUUGUACCUUCCCGAUAAGUAACCUGACCCCCGAACCCGAUCCGGUUUUUCGUAGGCCACCUUUUCCGAAUAAGGAGUCACACUUAGGGUUUUUCUUUCUUAUUUUGUUUACCCUUUUAAAAAUAAAACAAAAAUAAGUGGCGACUCCAAGUCAUUUUCUUAAUCAAUAAAAAUCAUUUUUCGAAAUCAAAAUCGAGCUCGCCUUCGAGUGGGAAACGCAUGAGCCGAAAUGCGGGGUCCACAAUUUAAUAUUAAAACUAUAAUUUAUUUAAUUCAAAUGUAUUCAAUAAUAUAAAAUAAAUUAUGAUGCAUAUAUGAAUUUUUAAUUUUUUUAUAUUUUUAUAUUUAAUUAUCAUAUAAAUGAUAUUAAAAAAAAUACUUGUUAAGAAAAUUAUAAAAGUGGUUUUUAUAUAUUAAUUAAUUAAAUUUCAAAAUAACAUUAUUUAUUUUUAAUAAUGAACUUUAACAUAUUUAUUAUUUACAUAUAUUAACAAAAGAGAAAAUAGUUGCACUUGUUUGUGUCUUCUGAGUAGUAGAAAGAUCAAGUUCUUUCAAAGAACAAAGGGAAAUAUGAUCAUACUUAGUGUGAAGGGUAUUAGAAUGGAUUGUAGGAUGAAUUGAGGUCAACGAUGGGAGCCAUAAGCUGGUAUUAACAUGAUUAGAGAUUGUAGAAUAUUCAGGAACAAUUGUAUGUUGAAGCAAAAGGAAACAUGUUUUCAUCAAAUGCAACAUGCCUAGAUAUGUAGAUCCUACCACUUGGAUCUAAACACUUGUAUCCUUUGUGCUUAUGACUGUAUCCAAAAAAUGUGCAAGGAACUAAACAAAAUUGCAUUUUAUGAGAAUUAUAUGGUCUCAAGUAUGGAAAACAUUGACAACCAAAUACCUUUAAGAAUGAGUAAAUAUAAUGGAUCAUUAUAUACAGUCAAGGAAUUUGAAAAAGACAAUUUAUAACUUUUUCCAAGUUGAUAGGCAUAACAAAAAUGAUCAUUUUCAUUCAUUGAAAACUUCAAAUUAAAAUUUGAAAGAACUUGUUUGACAGUAGAGAAAGUUGGGUAUCCUAAUUUCCUAUGCCACAAACUCAAAAUCGUAGAUGACUUAACAUUAUCAUCAUUAAGAUUGGAAGUAGGAAGGAUAGGAGAAUCUAGACCACAAUCUCCCAUUCUAUUAGAUUUAAGAGACAAGACUUGGUGAUCCUUAGAGUUAAUGAGGGAAAAGUGAUGUGAACUAGUUGAUAAAUAUGGUUGAGCCUUGAAUAGGUUGAACCGAUAUAACCCUUCAUGUAGUCUCCCUUUGAGCAAAGGUGUUCCCGUUGCUAGAUCCUUCACAAUGGAAAUAGAUGGAUGAAACUCAAAGAAUACAUUAUUUUCUUUAGCAAAUUGACUGACAUUUAUGAGAUUACGAGUAAUGUGGGGAACAUGUAGUAGGUUAGAUAAUGAAAAAACUUUAGGUGAAUCAGAAGAACAAAGUGAAGAAAAACCAGAAUGAGCAAUCGUCAAACUUGCACUAUUACCCACAUGGAUCUUAUUUCUUCUAUGAUACUCAGAACCAAAAUUCAGAUUGCUAUGGUCAUUUGUAACAUGAUUUGUUGCUCUUGAAUCUAGAAACUAGUUGUCAUUAUUGAGCAAUUCCGAAGUGGUUAACAUUGUAGUCAUCGAACCUGUGUUUUUACCAACAUUGUUGUUUGCAUAGACUGAAUCAUUUGUGAACCCACAAAAAUUUGGGUCAAAACGAUGGUAACAUUUUUGGACAGUGUGUCCAAAUUUUCCACACAACUAACAUUGUGGCUUAGAACCACCAAUCUAUGAAUGACCUUUUCCACAACCAGCAUGACCUCAUCAUCUAUUAUUUUGAAAUUGUUGUGCUCUCUGGUAGGAUUGAGAAGCUCUCUGAUUAAAACUUUGAAUUCCAUUGUUGAAUCAUUUCUGUUGAUUUUGAAAAACAAGAUUCAUGGAUGGUUGGGAUCCGUCAGAGUUCACUGAAUGCUACUUGAUUUGACUUUCUUAAGCUAGUAGCAACCCUCAUACAUUUUCCAAAGAUGAGAAUCAACUCUGGCAAUAAUAACUGAAACCAUAGAAUUGUAUUCAAUGCCUAGACCAACAAGAAUAUAGAGAAUCUGAUCUUCUUUCAAGAUUUGAUGCCUAGUUGAAGCAAGAGUAUCAAAAUACGUUUUCAUUUUGAGAAGAUAUUCUCUCAUUAGUAAGCCCGAUUUCUUCGAACUCUAGAUCUGCAAUUUGUAUUGUAUAAUCUUGGCUUUGCAUAGUAUUGCAAAGACUUUGUCAAGGGUUCUCUAAAUAUCAUUAGCAGUGUUGCAACCUACCAUUUGUAGUAGAAUACUCUCACUCAUUGAAGAUAGAAGCCAAGAGACUAAGUAGUUGAUCUUGUCUCUGCCAAGUCACAUACUCAAGAUUCAUCGACUGCAGACUUCCAUUGACACUAGAUGUUAUCUCAGAUGGACAAAUAGAGGUGUCAUAAAUAAAACCCUUUAAACCGAAGCCUCGAAUCGCAACGAGAGCUUGUUGUUUCUAGAUGAGAAAAUUUUCAUGUAUGAGUUGUACCGUAACUAGAUGACUUGAAGGACCGAUGACAGGAUUGAGAGAAAAUGAAGAAUCAUAUGAGGUUUCUAGUGAAGUUGCCAUUGUAGAGCUCUGAGUCGAAAGCUCUGUUACCAUAUGAGAUAAACAAAUGAUAAAAAUAGAGGAUAAGAAUUAAGGAUAAAACGGGCAAAGAUGCCCACUCUCUUUCUCAGUAUCUCUUAUUUUAUUAAGAGCAUGAACCAAGAAUUUUAUACAACAAGAAGAACCAACCCUAACAACCCAACCUAUUAUUGAAUGCCACAUGGCACAACAUCAAGUUACUUAUUAAAAUAAGAUACAACAUCAACCCUAACAAAUUAUUUAUUUAUUUAUAUAAUUGAAUUUACUUAUUAAAGUAAAGUUAACAACAUCAAAAACAUGUUAUUAAUAUAUCAAGUUCCCAAAUAAAUAUUUAUUUUAUAAAAUAUUAAAUAACAAUUUUUAAAAAUCAUUUUCAAAUAUUAUUUUAAAAAAUAAUUACUAAAUAGGACCUAAAUAUCUCCUUUCAAAAUGUGGCUUUCAAUUCUAAAAGUAUCAUAGUGGAAAUUUCUUACUUGAUAUUAAAGAUAUAAUAAAAUUAUAAAUAACAAACAUUAUAUUUCUAAACAUCUCAAAAUUUUCCAUUUUUCUAUUAAUAUUGCAGACUGCAUAAGUAAUAACUACAAUAACAUCAAAUGAAGUAUAAGUAGCACUUGACAUAAGAUUUAUUGUUGUGUAACAUCAGGAUUAUAAAGACUUUUAGCUCAAAUAAUCUUUUUAAUCAUAUAUAUUAGACAUAUAUGAUAAUCAUAAUUCUAUUUUCCAUUUUUAUUCAAAAAAAGAAAAAAGAAAAAUAAGAACUUUUUGCUAAUUAAUUAUAUAAUAAGUAGAAUUUUUUUAAAUGAUUUCUCAAUGAUGUGUCUAUGAGUUGCAAUAAUUUUUUGAUAUUUAUAUACAAGACUCUAAUUUUAUUAGUUUAGUACACAUGAAUAUGACACGAGUGACUUAUGAGUGUAAUUUCCUAUUUUUAUUUUGAGUAUAAAUUAUUUUAAAUUUUUUUUCUAAUAAAAUUUCGGAAAUUAAAAAAGUAAAAAUUUAUCAUGAACAUGAUUUAAAAAAUUUUAAUUUAUAAUUUUUUAAUAAUAAAAAGAAAAAUGCCAUCGAAAAGCGCUUAAAUUAUAUUUAGUAGGCUUCUUUUAUUCAGACUGGAGAGCGUAAACACAAAGCCUUUCCAGUGGUCCGACAACAAAGGCAUGUACGCGUAGUUAAGGGUAGGCGGUAUUCUCCCAAUUGCCAUCAGACUGGUACAUUACUUAACCAUACACGCUACUCCAAGGUUGCUAUUAUCAACUAGUUUUGGUCAGCACACAUCUAUAGCCAGUGACAGUGAUGUCAUCGACUAGCAAGUUUGUUGUCGGAAACCAAGACGCUCAUUUUUGAGGUCAAACUCCACAUAAUAAUCCACGUGCUGAUGAUUCCCCAGAAUAAUAGACGGUCCCGGAGUGAAUUCCAAAGUGUUGGUGCCUGCAUCAGUGACGAAGGGGAAACAAGCGAAGCUUAUCUCAGGAAAAGACAUAAAAUAAUUCUUUCCUGGUACCACCAUAUUUGCGCCACCGCUAAAUUGGUAAAUUAAGUCGGGGAUUUUUAUGGAUUUGUGGCCUGUGAAAUUAUAACAAGGUGUGAAACCGGACAGGUUUUCUAGCUCAAGAGAUCUCCUAUACUUGGACAUCUGCUUUUUCAACUCAUUUGUCACUAUCUUAAAAACCGGUCGUGUCAUGUAUCCAUACGCGAAACCAGAAUCUAUCAUGAGACCACCUCGACCGUCGGAUCCUGGAGCCAGAUACUUGCUUGGAAUCCUGAGGAGCUUGUUCCCGAUCCUGAUAUCUUUGACACCCAAGUAGUAGUAAACCGGGUAGUCAGGAGGAUUCUUGAGAAAGGGAGCAUAGGAAAGUCCUUUGGUUUCACCAUCACUGUAGUCCAAAAUCAACUUGCUGCUGUUCCGGGUGUCAUCGUGAUCGUGCGAAUUGAGACAGUAAGCGAACUUCUUCACACCCAUCUGCAUCGGCAACGAGAACAUUGUGCGACCGAACCCCGCAAGUGCGUCAGAAGUAGGUUCAUGAGCAGCGGAUGUUGUACACCCAACAAGAAAUUUAUGAAUUGUUUUCCCGGGAAAGUUGAGGUUUUCUAAUAGAAAAAACCCAGAUGCUGAUCCUGUGCCAUACUGAAGACUGUAUUGUGGGCAAGCGUGGGAGCAAUUUUUGGAAUUGCCAUUGCAGCGAGGGCACCCGAGGGAACAUUUGGGGUUUCUGCACUCCAAGAUCUUAUAAGACGACGAAAGUUUGGGAUUAAAGAUGGGGACCUUUUUGGGGUCUGAAAAAGAACAGUUGGUGCAUGUAUAGUGAGUUGUACACGGGGCCCAUACUACUUGACUUCCUGUGUCCACCAGGAAGGGGAGUUUUUGUGGAGGAGUGCCGAAGCUGAGAGGGAUGCUGUGACCUCCAUAACUAUGAGGAAAAAGAGAAAUUUGUGUGAGAGGGCUGGCCUUCCCAUGUUUCAAUUGAUGGGCUCUGGACAAGGAUGAAAUGCAAGGUGUUGGAGAAAUAGCAAGGGUUCGAUAGAUGGCUUGUUUGUAAAUGUUGAUGUUAGAGGGAUGGUAAUGGUGGCAGGUGUGUUAUCUUUGGAGGAAGAUGCCAAGAAAAGGAAAGAGAAGAAAGUAAAGACAGAGAAAAGCAAAGAAGUAGAAGAAGCCAUGGCUGUGUAGUUUCAGACGCACACACCAUGGGAAGUGGUAGAGAGAGUAUUUAUAUAGACAAUGACAUGCAUGGUUUAUAUGUAGUUAUUCUAAAAUCCAUUGUCAAUUUUCUUCAUUUUGCAGUAUGAUAUGGAUUUGAUUGAGCAAAGAUUUUAUUGCCUCUUCCUGACGAAGACAGCCACGACAGCCGCGGUUACCUACAAAAGCAUUCCAGCUGGCGUGAAUUGCAAUUAUCAACAGAAUAUUUGUCUUUUUCCUUUUAUUAGGUUUCUUUCUUCAAUCUUUUUAAACACCAUGUCUUUUGUGUGUGGUGGGGAGGGGUCACAGCUUCAAAUAAUGUAGUUUACUGUUCCUUUUGUGGCUGGAUAUGUUUUCUUUGUGAGGAGACUGGUUGGUACGUCAACUCCCCUUUAACCUAAUGGAAAAAUAAAAAAUAAAAAAUCAAAGAGUUAGAUUUCAACAGAACAUUUACAAAAAAGUAAAAUAAAACAUCAAUAUUGAGAAAGUGAUAAAUUUGUAAUAGAUAAUUUACAUCUAAAAAUUGUUAUUAAUUAAUUGAGAAUUAGGAAUAAUUUUUUUUCCACUUUGAUGUGAAGUACACCCUAAACCAUAUAAGAAUGGACAAAUUAUUUGAUAAAAGUUAAAAUAAUUAUAAAGAUCGAUAAAAUCAAAGAAAAAUAAGUUUUUAUCUACUUCACAAAUAAUAUAAAUGCACCGUCGAUGUUAUUAAAUUUAUUAAAAAUUUAAAAAUAAAUCUCAUACUAAAAACAUAACUAAUCCUUCAGAACUUAAAGAUUUCCUACCCUUCUUAAUAGUUUUAUUGCUUUUGAAUUUUAAUAUUAUAUAAUGAAUAUUGGAAAAUUGAAUAACAAGUUGUAAAUUUAUUUUAUUUUUUUAAUUUCUUUAAGCAAAUAUUUUUUUAAGACUUAUAAUCUCUGUUUAUUUCUCAGUUUUAUUAAUUUAUGUUGCAUUUUUUUGAAAAAAAAAAAAUCUAUAUUUUCAUAAUUAUAGCACCGACAAAGAAUAUCAAAUAAAUUUGUACCUACCUAAGUGUUUUUAUAAUUUGCUUCCAAAAGUAGUAAUCAUACUUUACAUUUGACAUUGAUAGUUUCAAUCACAUAAUCUAGUUUUAGUUGUUUAAUCUAAAAAUGUUUUCCAACAUUUGGGUCAUUGAAUCAAAAAAUAUAUGGCAUGGGCACUACCAAUAUGAUAUAGACCACCACCAAUGUUUUAUUACAUAGGAUACCACUGGGACCACAUGUGUUCACCUCCACCAAAAUUGGUUUAUUAUCUAAGACUAUAAAGAAGUGGAGGAAGAGAAUAUUCUGAUUUGGUCACCUCAUAAAAAGUUGAUUGAAGUAGAAAAUCUGAAGAAAAUUUGAAGGCAGUCCACAUUUUUUCGGCACCAAGUAUUCAUUUUGUGGAUAAAAGAAAUUAACAAAUUUUAAAUUUAGAAAAAAUAACAGGCCUAUACCUACCUCUUAGUAGUGCCUUAAAUUUAAACUAUAAUUUAAAUAUUUUCUAUUAAUUUUAUUGUUGAAAAUGUAAAUAGACCAAAAAUUCUAGCUUUGUGAUUAUGUUAAAUUACCAAUUUUCCUAAUAAAUAUGUAAACUAUAAAGAGAUGGUCAAAAGACUUCCAACCCAUACCCAUAAGUAGAGAAAUAAAUAUAUAAAUUAUAGAUAGGAGGCUUGAAUACAACUUAAUAGCAUAUUGAAUUAUCAAUUUUCCUAAAAUAUUAAUCAUUUAGGAUUUGAGUUUAUAAUAUAUACCAUGCUUUUAACUUUUAUAAACUUGUGUGUGAUCAUAGAAUGAAAUAUCUACAUGUGAGUGACUUUUAUUUUUUUUUAACCAAAAUAUUGCUUAUCAAUUUAUUACAUUAUAAUUACUCUUUUGGUUCCAAAGAAGUCUCCUUGGUUGUGAUAAUCUUAAUAUCUAACUCCAUUUUUCCCUAAUUAAAGUACACAUCAAACUUGUGAGGGAAGAGUGCAGUCUCUAUGAGAGGGCUGCUCUUGCGGCCGUAUUUGAAGUGAUGAACUCUGGUUAAUGGCCUAAAGGCGAGGUUAUGGUUCAGUUCUGAAGAUGGUUCGUGGGUGAAUAAUGGUGUCAGAGGGAUACUAAUGGUGGAGGGGCCGGUUUCUCUUCUUUGGAUGAAGAUGAUAAGCAAAGGAGAGAGAAGAGAGUAAAAAACAUGACAAAGCCAAGAAGAAGAAGCAAUAGCUCUGACCUUUUGUUGCCUGAUAAUUAAAGUCCCACUAACAAAAGCUAGCACAAGGGAAUCACCAUCCCCACUUUCUGUGGACGCAGUACUACCUCACGAAUCACAAUAUGAUAUCCACCUUCCCACAUUUUUUUGUAUCAAUAUUGACGUCAGCUUCAUGUCAUGUUGAAGAUGCAACAAAGUUUAUAUAUGGUUAUAGCUGCUAAGCAUGCUUGGCAAGCUUUAGCCCUAUUUGCCAAUGAGCCUUCAGACAGAGAGAUGGGCGCACGUCAAAAUAGGCUACAGAUUUUCAAUUCUUUUAGCCAUGCAUUUCAGAACCGUGCAGAUUGCGGUAGACAACAUUAGCCAUCAGUUUCCCAUAUAAAUGGAUGUCAUCCUCACAUCAAUUCUUCUUGUUCUUUGUGAUUCCCACUAUUAGAACAACAUGGCAUGAGUAUUCCUACAACUGAUCAAUAUGAAUGGACAAUGGAAUUUUGAAUAAUGAUAAGAGAUGUUCAGGUGCGGUCCCAACUAGACUAGUAAUGCUUGUAUGAGUGUAAACCAUUUGGGUCUCGACGUCUACUCACUACCUCACGUGGAUCACGAUUGUUGAAAUGCAUAUUUUUUGUGAGCUUCAUGUUUGGGGUUAGCCCUUUUAGUUAUUUUUUAAUUGAAGUCAUUUUAAAAAUAAUAUUAAGAUAAAUUCUAAAAGUGUAAAGUUGUUUCUUUAAUAUAGAUCACAUUAAACUCUAAUAUUUUAAAAAAAUAUGUUGUAUAUUUCUAGCACUACACGUCACGACAUAAUUUGCAACCCCCGGGACCCAGCAUUGGAUAUAUGGGGAAAGAACAACAUUACAUUGACCCCACAUCUCACUUCCAGUGGCUCACAAGCCGCCACCUAUCUUCCUUUCGAUGUGGAUCUCCUUCUGCCCUACAAAGAAUAUUGGAAUUUGAAAAGCACCCAAAGUCAUUUAAAAAAAUAUUUCUAAAUCUACAAUAUUUUGAGUUAAUCUAAUUGAAAGUUGUUUUUUAGAAAAACAAUUUUAGUAAAAUUUUAAAGUUAAUUUUUGAAAAAAUAAUUUUCUUAUUGACACUGAAAUUAUCUUUUUGAAAAGGUAACUAAAAUAUCCUAAAUCUGAAAAUAAUUUUUAAAUGUCAUACUUUAAUAAAUAUUUUUUUAGAGAAAAAUAAUAUUUUUGUUAAACAAUAUAUACAAUAAGCUACCUCAUGUGUCAGAAAUGAUCCCUAAAACAAAUGCCACAUGCUGCUCGGGAUGAGCGGAGGAAACAUGGCAUCGCGGAGGAUCACAGCUCCCCGCUCCUUAUGUUGCGGACAAAGCCAAAGCGAUUGAUUAUAGAGGCAACGUAGUGGUUUAGUAGAGGAGCGACCACUACCAAAAGUAGAAAUGUGAAUAUCUGAUGCAACGCCUCCCUCUUAUCCCUCUAGUGCUGCCCUUCUCACAUCAAGUAUUUUCGUUCCUGGGCCAUCCAUUUUCCAUAUCGGAAUAAUAACCUGUUGUAGACCCCCAUUUGGGGCUCAUUCCUUUGCAUCUCUGCAGGGUAUGAUUCUUUGCAGGUGGAGGGCUCCCAAGGAGCCACGUGUCGCCUCGCGGUUGGUGGCCAUAGAAACAGAUGGUGGAAUUGAGGAGCGAGUGAGAGUUUGACAUGUGGCAUGGAGAUAUUCUGGCCGUUAGUGAGGAGCGUAUAUUUUCUGUUAGAGGGGAUUUUUGCAGAGGGGGGUCGGCUGGCCAGAGGUAGGGUGCUUUUCAGAAGCUGCUGCAGGGUAGUGGUGGUCGGGGAGCGUCUCCUGGAGGUUUAGAGGCUGUAGAGAACUAGGGUCUCCGGGGGGGGCUGGUAAAAGAGGAGAGAAGAACAGAGGUGUAAAAGAGGGAAAAGCUAAGAAAAACAGAGGAAAAGCCAGGGAGGAACAGAGAGAGAUUUUUGGGAGAGGAAGGAUUCGAGAGUGUGUUUUUCCAGGAGAGUGAGAAGGAGAGGUGAUGUUUGGGCGCUGCUGGAUUUUACAGAGGUAUCUUUAGAGAGGAUUCCUUGGCUUAAAAGGGGUUUUCCUUGCAGGAGACAAAGGAUGAAUGCGAUUUUGAGCAAAUUUCGGCAUUGGCGACAUGAAUGGGCUUAUAUAGCUGUCAAUAUUCAAGAGUUCUUGACGUUGGUGGGGUUUUUGAGGUCAAGCUACAGAUCUGAUUUGAAUGAUAAACGCAAAUGAGAGUUUGUUCCAUUGAGACUUGGUAUCCAUGCUGUCUAAACAUUGAAUCAGAAAUGGGCAGAGAGAUUAUUUUGAAAGAAAUAGAUUAAGGAGAAGGAUUCUAGUGAGGGUCCCCAUACCAUGUCUUGAUACCGGUUCAUGCAUAUCAUUAUUUAUCAUACCAGUGGCAAAUGUCAAUAUCCCAGAGGAAGAAGAGAGUACACUGAUUGAAGAAAUGUUGGUUCUUAAGGGAAUGAAAGACCCACUCUCGCUCUUGUAUUCUUUUGGCUAGACGAAUCCACUAGUAAACUGGUGGAUGAUGAAGACAGAUUGAUGGUUGAGAACCAUACCUCCAGUGUGGGCGCAUGCGAAUCUUGCCCGCUGCUGUUAGUGCGUUCCAGAUCCGGAAAGUCUUCAUAAAGGCCCCGCAUGGAUUUUAUGAGUUUAUGGAUGUACCCUUGCAGCUACAGCAUGUGCUUGCCCUACAUCUAGAGGAGCAUCCAGGGUCGAUUUCAGAUGGAUCCUUAGAGCACAAUCUAGAAGUAACUAUCGCAAAGGAUACAUGCACACAUCCUGGCGCUUUUAGAGAAUUGCAUAUACGUUGUGGGCAGCCAAAUGGUGCAAGGGCCCCAUCCUCUCAAGUGGUCAAAAACUGAAGAUGCCACGUAUUCCCGGAUCAUCAGAAGCUCCUAAGACGAACUGAAUGAUCUAGAGGAGGCUAUUCAACCUGAUUUAACUGGAAAUAAAUCAUCAAAGGAAUCAACUCGAGAUGGUCAUGCGUAGAAUGCAAAGAAUAGACAGAUCAGAUCCUCAAGGCGACCGUGGUCAUUCGUGGUGGCGUUCUGGCACAGAAUAGGAAUACCAGAUUGCAUUAUUUUGGGAGAUAGUAAAUGGUACAAAGGCUGUUCAUCCCAUCUGGAGGCGAAAGUAUUAAAAAAGGCAUGCAAAUUAUUCAAUGGCUGAGAAAGCGGCAGGUUCAAUAGCAGAGGAUAUGAUCGUCACCUACAUAAGGAAGUCAAAUGGGCCAAAGGGAAAUUUGAGGCAACUGGUCAUUCAAACAGUGCAUUCAUAAAAAUCACACCUGUGAGGGACCUCAGUUGCGAGCAUGUUUAGAAUCCUUUCCAGAAACUGUGUGAUCAUUUAAUGUGAUUUAUACCCAAGAUUUGCCUCUGGACUUUCAUGACGGAGAUAUCAUAGCGCCACGGGUUUUAGAUUAGCUGCCAAUGGCUAGUUGGAGGAGUAUAGGAUUACUUUUAAAGUCCUCAGGGGACUUGAAGAAUUUCCGAGAUUCGCAUGCAACCGUGGCUGUUGACUCACCUGAAAUCACAGCUGUUCAGUCUUCUCAAUGGAUCUCCAAGCCACGAGUUCAAGGUUAGGAGACAAAUAAAGUCAUCGUUUUCACUGAAGUUGGUGUUCAUUUGGCAUCUGAGGACAUAGCUUAAACAAUUGGGAAAUCCAUCGUCAGCAACUGUUUUGGGAAUGGAGACUGAGACCUCACCCAGAUCCCCAGGGGAUGUGACUAUACUGACUCGUUUGCACUCCAGACCCGUUCCCUCUCUCUAGCAUGGCAUGCAUGGCCACCUUUGGGCCACGUGUUCUCUCUUCUUAUUUCCUUAUUCUUUGAUUUUUGAAAUUAACUACCCCAAAUCUCAUGUGAUAAAUUCUUUUACGUUUUGGUUUUCAAAUAGUCUCAAUUAUCCCAUCCUUCUUCCUUAGCAUUUUUCUUUAAGUUUCAAAACCCCAUUUUCAAUAAAACGUUGCUGCCAUUUUUCUUCGGCAUGCAAUUUUGACAACUUCCAUGAUUUUAAAACGUUUUGAAAUAAACAUGAAUUCAAUUUUGUAAUUCCAAUUAAUGGAACUUAUGAAAUUAAUUCAUGCAAAAUAAACGGGCUUUGGUGGGGGGCCCGACAUAUGUGACUUCAUGAUUGACUGACUGAUUGAUUGAUUUGACUGCCAUGCAUAAUUGAUUUAUUCUGAUCCGUGACAUGCAUGAGAUUAUUUCUUAACUGUGCUCUAACCCUAUUUCUUGAUAGCGCAUGGCGGCUCGUCACCUAGGUACGUGUCCAGUCCCAUUCUUGUAAUUCUCUAUGCAAGUACUGAUUCUCAUAUGUGCGAUCAUGAUGAGUAUUCAAUGAUUUCAUCAUCAAUGCCACGUCAGCCUCAUCUUANNNNNNNNNNNNNNNNNNNNNNNNNNNNNNNNNNNNNNNNNNNNNNNNNNNNNNNNNNNNNNNNNNNNNNNNNNNNNNNNNNNNNNNNNNNNNNNNNNNNCAUGCAAAAUAAACGGGCUUUGGUGGGGGGCCCGACAUAUGUGACUUCAUGAUUGACUGACUGAUUGAUUGAUUUGACUGCCAUGCAUAAUUGAUUUAUUCUGAUCCGUGACAUGCAUGAGAUUAUUUCUUAACUGUGCUCUAACCCUAUUUCUUGAUAGCGCAUGGCGGCUCGUCACCUAGGUACGUGUCCACUCCCAUUCUUGUAAUUCUCUAUGCAUGUACUGAUUCUCAUAUGUGCGAUCAUGCUGAGUAUUCAUUGAUUUCCUCAUCAUUGCCACGUCAGCUUCAUCUUAUUAGUAGAGACCCGACUUUAGGGACUUAGAAGGGUGCUACGGUCUUUACCGUACCUUCCCGAUAAGUAACCUGACCCCCGAACCCGAUCCGGUUUUCAUAGACCGCCUUUUUUAAAAUAUGGAGUCACACUUAGGGUUUUUCUUUCUUAUUUUGUUUACCCUUUAAAAAUAAAACAAAAAUAAGUGGCGACUCCAAGUCAUUUUCAAAUAAUCAAUAAAAAUCAAUUUUUCAAAUAAUAAAAAUCGAGCUCGCCAUCGAGUGGGAAACGCAUUGAGCCGAAAAUGCGGGGUCCACACCUGUCAAUUCAUAAAGUUGCCUACUUUUUCUCUCCUGCCUCCUGGACAUUCUAACCUCAACUAGAAAGUUGGAUUUUAUUUGUGGCUUUUUUUAUUUUUUAAAUUUGGAGUCAUUAUUGGAGUAAGAUGUCCAAGUUAGAUGGUCUUGUCAUUAUAUUUAUGUAUGUUACCUUACAGGUACUUGGAAUCUACACCACUUUAUGUCCUAAAAUUUUGUGCCCUAAAAAGUUUUAGCAUAUACCAUAUUUGCAUACCAAUUAAAUAUCAUGUCGUUUUGCACAUACAAGACUUUAUUGAUCAACUCCGACCUCCAACUCAUGUAAACAUGGAUAGAUCCAUCCAACCAAUCGACAAGGUAGAAAAUUUUAUUAUAAGGGUAAAACAGAAAAAUCAUAAAUCAUAAUAAUAUUAAAUAUAAUUUCAGAUUUUAGUAUCAUUCAAUAAAACAAGUAUAUUUAUUAAUAUCAAUUUAUAUAAUUUUUUAUAAUAUAUCAAAUUAAAUAACAUAAACAAAUAAACUUUUGAUAUUAUGGUGAUUAUUCCAUCAUUAAGUUAAGCCAUAGGAUCAAAUCAUCAAACUUUGACAUAUAAAAUGUUGUCAUAAAUCUAGUUAGGCCACAAAUUUCUUUUACAUUUGUUUUUCAAGAUUACUAAUAAAUUUUUAAAAAUAAAAAACAUUUCUUUCUUUUUCCUCUUUUAUCAUGUUAAUAAAGAAAAAAAAUAUUUUCAAUUCAAUUUCUCCUCUUAUUGUAACAAAGGGAAAUAAAAUUUAUUAUUUUAUUAAUAUUUAAUUUCAGAUAUGAGAAUAUUAGUGAGCUUUGAGUAUUAUAUGAAAUUUCAAAUAUAUUGUGAAUCCAAGAAUUAAAAUUGAAUUAUUGUAAUUUUCAAUCAAAAUUCAUUAUAACUUACUAGUUCACUAAUCUUAGAGAUGAAUGGGACUUUCUAUGCAUAUGUAUUUACAUGUAAAAAGAGUUACAUCAUCUUUUAUCAAUGUGGAUGCAGCUGCCUAAUUUUAAAAUUCAAUGGGUUGUCAUUAUCACAUCAAUUAUUCUUCUUUCUCAUGCACCCCACAAAACAAGAAACAAUAUAAUUUGCCUCAAGAAACAACAUAUUUGAAAUUAUAUGGAAUUUAAAAUAUAUUGUGAAUCCAAUAAUUAAAAUUGAAUUAUUAUAAUUUCCAAUCAAAAUUCAUUAUAUUCACUACUUCGCUAAUCUUAGGAACGAAUAAGACAUUUCAUGCAUAUGUACUUACAUAUAAAAAGAGUUGUAUCAUCCUCCACAUGUGUGUGGAUGCGAUUGCCUAAUCUCCACAUAAUUUUUAAAUUCUUGUUAUUGUCACAUCAAUUAUUCUUCCUUUUCAUGCACUUACAAAGCAACAAAUAUCAUAAUUUGCCUUCGUCCACCUACUCACUGAAGUGCAACUUUUUUUUUUUCCUUUUUAUUUUUGUGUGCUUUAUUUCGUACAAAGGGCAAAAAUAUCAUGAUGAGGACGAAAAUAUUGUGUCCAAAAUGGCUUAGAGGGAAAAAAAUCAUUGAAUUAGGCCCAACUUGCGUAUUAAAUAAUACCUUAAGUUUUACAAUCUCUCAAAGUUUCCAUAUAUGAUUGAGUUCUUAUUUAUAUAAAAUGUAAAAAUCUCAUAUAUGAUAAGCAAUCAACUUAUUAUAUAUUAUAUAUGUGAUUAUAAUUGUUUAUAUAUAUAAUUAUUAUAUGAAUAUUUUUAUAUAUUAUAAUAUAUUUUAUAAAUUAAUAAAAAUAAAAUUAUUAUAAAUUAAUUAAUUUUAAAUAAUAAAAAAAUUGUAUCAAAAUAUUUAUCAAUAUUUUUAUGAUAUAUUCGAUAUAUCUAUAAAAUUCAAGUAUUAUAUAUAUAUGUGGUUAUUAAUAUUUUCAUCAUUAGUUUUAGCUUAUCCUAGUGCCUUAAAUAGGAUGCUUGAUUUUAUUUGUUUUUCAAUUCAACAAUGAAAUAAAAAUAAAAAUAUAAAAGAAUUCAAGUUCUUUUUUAAAAUAAAAAAUUUAAAUAUAAUAAAGAUUACUCAAAAUUAUGAUUAUAUUUAGGAAAUGUUUUUAAAAAUAGUUCUAAAAAAAUAAUCUUUGAUAAUUAUUUUUUAAAAUUAUUUUAUGAUGUUUUUAUAAGAAAAGUUUGUUUGAGGAUAUUUGAAAUACUGUAAACUUAUCUUUUAUAUUUUUAAAACAAUAUUUAUAUGUAAUAAUUUAUUUAUUUAAUCAUUCUUUAUAUUUAUAUAAAUACUUAUUAAAAUCAUUACAAAAAUGUAAGUGAAAAUAAGUAAAAACAAGUAAAAUAUGUUAUAAAAAAACAUCUUAUUUUAUAUUUUUUAAAAUUGAAUUUUUUUUUCAUUUUUUGCUAUCAAAUGUAAUAUGUUUUCCUCUUUUUGGUACUUCAAAACAUAAAAUUAUUUUCGAAAACAAAACAUAUCCUCUACAUUUCAAAGUUUUCAAAUUUUUCCUAAAAGGAUAAAUUUGAAAAAGCAUAUACAAAAAUUUUAUUUAAUAUAAUCCUAUUUUUUAUAAUUUCCUUUCCACUUGUCAUUGUGGCUUCCAAUUUUAGUCACAAUUAUGAACUGUAAGAGGCAAUUGAAUUCAUGCACACGUACUAUUUUAUCCAACAUUAACUUUUAGAAAUAUUUGAUUAAAAUAAUGAAAUAAUACCAAUAUUUGGAAAAAUAAUUUUUAUAGUUGGACAUUGCUUCUUCAACUCAGCUGCCACCAUAUUAAAAACCGGUCUUGUCAUGCAUCCGAAGCCGAAACCUGAGCCAGAUACUUGUGUGGGAUCCUCAGGAGCUUCUCGCCGAUCAUGAUAUCUGUGACACAGUGACACCUAUGUAGUAAUACACAGGAAAUUAGUCAUCUGGGUUCUUGAGAAAGGGAGUGUAGCUAAGUCCUUCGGUUUCGCCAUCACGGUAAUCCAACAUCAACACGACAUUUUUCGGGGUUUCGUCGAAGUCGUGAGAAUUGAGACAGCAAGCGAACAGAGACGUAAGCAGAGUAUAUAUAGCAUCGAGUCAUUCCCAUCUCCUCCCCAUUCUUAUCAUUUUCUUAUUCAAUGAGUGUCAUUUGCACAUCCAUUCUUGUUGUUCUUAUACAACCCAUAAAACAUCAUCGUCAACGCAUUAUAUGACCCGCAUUAAAUGUAUAAUAUUUAUAAAUUGAAAAAUAUAUAUUUUUAAACUUUUAUAUUAAUUUUUACCCCCUUUUUUUUAUAGGAUUUUGCUAUUAAUGACUGUCACUUAUCAAUUUCCUUCAUAAACAACACAGCAUAAAAAAUCUUGUUAAUUUUAUAUAAAAUUACACCCCAUACAAUUAUAAGCCUAAUAAAUCCACAAAUCAUUUUUUUUUGUAUAAAUUUAUAUCACAUACAACUUUAAACCUAAUAAAUCAUCCAACGAUUUUAACAAGAAAAUAAAUUUACACAAUAACACAUUUACAUAAACCAAUAAAAAUAAAACUAAAUAAAAGUGAAAAAUAAAAUAUGUACCAAAACAAGCCUAUAAUAAACAUAAUGUUCCAUUUGAGUCUCAUUUUUAUUUGUGAGAUUGAACCUUCCACAUGUCAUGAAUGAACCAAUAAAAAUAAAAUUAAAUAAAAAUGGGAAAUAAAAUGUGUACCAAACAAACCUAUAAUAAGUCUAAUGUCCCAUUUACAACAUUUUUAAGUCUUAUUUUUUUUCAUGAAAUUUAACUUUCCACAUAUCAAGAAUGUGUGCUCAACCAAUCGAUAGGAGUAGUGGUGAAUAGUAUCACGCAAAACAAAAAUGAACCAAAAAGUAAAUAUCCAAAAAUGUAUAAAGCUUUUCAAUAAGCCCCAAAACAAACUUCAAAUCAAUCUAAUAAAUUUCAUUAAUAAAAUAGACCAAAUUAGCAAAUGUAGUACAACAAAUCUAUUUUUCAAAUUAAUAACCAAAAUAUAAGGACAAACCUAAAUAUAACAAAUCAAAAUAAAUCAAAUUAGAGCUAAAUUUAAUAUAGUAUAAUCCAAACUUAAUUUAAUAAGCAAACUCAAGUCCACUACUAAAACCAAACUCAAUUUAAUAUGCAAAGCCUAAAAUGACAUCUAAAUAUAUACCAUAAUUUUCUAAUAUCUAAAUUCAAUAAUUCAAAUGAGUAAAACUCAUAUCAAUUAUUGACUCAUGUAACAAAUUUCACCAACAAGAAAUGAGCUCAAAUUCCAUGUUAAUUAAUAAGUCCAAAAUAUAAAAAAUCAAAAUAAAUUCAAUUAGAACUAAAUUUAAUAUCUCAUAAAUAAUGCAAAAUAAACUAUUACUCAAGUAAUAAAAAAAAAAUUGCAAGCCAAAAAUCCAAACAUAAUAGUAAUGAAUAACAAUAAUAUAUAUAAACCAACCAUAAAUCCGAUCAAAGAUUCUAAUAGCACAAUAUCCAUAGAUAAAUCCAAAUUGAAUUACACAAACAUGCCCACAAUCAGAUACAAUUAAAGUAAAAGGAAAUUUAACCAUUUUUUAAGAACCUAUGAAUGACCUGAGUUGCUAGCCGGCAAUGGCGGCAGUGGCUGCUGGUAGUGAAGGGUGGUGGAUGGAGAGAGAAAAUGGGUAUGAUGAGAUGAGAGAAGAAAAAGGAAAGAAGAAAGAAAAGGGAAAUAAAUGAAAAAAAAAUGAGAAGGAAGGAAGAGAAGGGUGUUUGGAUGGAGAGAUAAUGAGGGAAAUGAAGAAAAGAAAGGGGAGUGACGGAUAGGGAGAGAAGAAAAUAAAGGAAAGGAAAAAAUGGAAGAAGAAAAGAAGAAAAAAAGAGAGAAAAAAAAAAGAGUGGGGGGAAGAGUCUUCUGGCCGUGGGAAUGGGAUGAGGGAGGAAGAAGAAGAGAAAGAAAAGAAAAGGGAGGAAAAUGGGGGAAAGAAGGAAGAAAAAAAAGAGGAAAAAUGAAAAAGAAAAUGGAGGAGAAGAAAGAGACGGGAGGGGAAUGUGCAGGAGGUUAGUUGUGGGAACGAGGGGUACGGACAAGAGAGGGAAAUGAGGGAGUGACUGGGUGGAGUAAGCGGGAAAAAAGGGAAAGGAAGACGAAUAUAAAAUAAAAUAAAUAAUAAUAAUAAUAAUUUAAAAUAUAUAAAUGGAUUGAAACAUUCAUAUGUAAUUGGGUUUGAAUUUUAAGAAUAAAAUUAAAUUUAUAAUUAAUAUAAAAAUAAAUUCAAAACAAAUUUUAAGAUUUAUAGACUUCUUAUUUUAAAAAUAUUAAUGUGUAAAAUUGUUAUAUAUGUAAUAUCGAUAAAUAAGAAACUCAAAAUAUGAUAAAAUAAUAAAUAAAGCAUUAUACUUUAUUUCCAAACAUAUCAUUUUUUUUUUCAAUUUUUCUAUUAAUGCAUAUUGAAUAAUACUAACUGUUACGACAUUUAAAGUAUAUAUUGAUAUAAAAAGUAAUCCCAUUUUUUCUUUUAUACCAACUUCUAUAUAAUGAAACUUCUUGCCAUAAACAGAAUUUGCUUUGUUUUGAUAACGGAUUUUACUUUUUUUAUUUUAAGUCAUAUCUCUAUCUACCCGGAAUCAAGUUUGACCUCAUGGGAUUGAAGUAAAAAAAUUACAAACUUGCAAUAAUAAUACUUCAUAUUUUAGAAAUAAUACUCCCACUAUCAUUCAAUAAAAUAAAUAAUUAUUAUUAACAUUAAUUUAUAUAAAAGAAAUAAAAAUUUUAUAACGUACCAAAUUAAAUAAUAAAAAUACUAAUAAAAAUGUUUUUGAUUUUAAGGUUACUCUAUAACAUGUUUCAAGUAUCAAAUAAAUAUUUGUUUUAUAAAAUAUUAAAUAAUAAUUUUUAAAAGCUAUUUUCAAAUAUUGUUUUAAAAAAUAGUUACUAAAUAAGAUUUAAAUAUCUCAUUUAAAAAUGUGAUUUCCAAUUCCAAAAGUAUCAUAGUGGAAAUUCCUUACUUAACGUCAACGAAUAAGAAAGUAAAAUUAUAAAUAAAAAACAUUAUAUUUUCUAAACAUUUCAAAAUUUCCCAUUUUAUUAUUAAUACAGAUUGCAUUUGUAACAACUACAAUAAUAUCAAAUGAAGUAUAAGUGGUACUUGACAGAAAAAUUUAUUGUUAUGUAACACUAAGGAUCAUAAAGCAUAAAUAAACUUUUAAAACAAAAAUCCUUUUGAAUUAUAAAUAUUAGACAUAUGUGAUAAUAAUAAUUUUAUUUUCUAUUUUUUCAAAAAAAGAAAAGAAAAAUAAGGACAUAUGUGAUAAUUAUAAUUCUAUUUUCCAUUUUUUUUAAAAAGGAAAAUAAGAACUUUUUACUAAUUAAUUAUAAUAAUAAGUAGAUUUUUUUAAUGAUUUCUCAAUAUCCGUCUAUGAGUUGCAAUUACUUUUUAAUAAUUGCAUACGAGACUCUAAUUUUAUUAGUUUAGUAUACAUGAAUACGAGGGACAAACGAGUGUAAUUUCCCAUUUUAAUUUAUUUUUUUAAAAUCCUGAGGAUAAUUUUAUUUUUUUUUAAAUACAUUUUAAAUUUUUUUCUACUAAAAUUUGGGAAAGAGAAAAGUAAAAAUAUGUCAUGAACAUGAUUUAAAAAAAUUAAUUUAUAAUUUUUUAAUUAUAAAGACAAAAAUGCCAUCAAAAGCGACUAAAUUUAUAUUUAGUACACUUCUUUUAUUCAGACUGGAGAGCUUAAACACAGCCUUUCCAGUGGUCCAACAAUGAAGGCAGGUACGUAGUUAAGGGUGGGCGGUAUUCUCCCAACUGCCAUCGGACUGGUACACUACUUAACAAUACACGCUCCUCCUAGGUUGCUAUUAUCAACUAUUUCUGCCCAGCACAAAUCUUUAGCCAGUGGCAGUGAUGUCAUCGACUAGCAAGUUUGUUGUCGGAAACCAAGACGCUCAUUUUUUUAGGUCAAACUCCACAUAAUAAUCCACGUGCUGAUAAUUCCCCAGAAUAAUAGACGGUCCCGGAGUGAAUUCCAAGGUGCUGGUGCCUGCAUCAGUGACGACAGGGAAACAAGCCAAGCUUAUCUCAGGAAUAAACACAAAAUAAUUCUUUCCUGGCACCACCAUAUUUGCGCCACCUCUAAAUUGGUAAAUUAAGUCGGGGAUUUUUAUGGAUUUGUGGCCUGUGAAAUUAUAACAAGGUGUGAAACCGGACAGGGUUUCUAGCUCAAGAGAUCUCCUAUACUUGGACAUCUGCUUUUUCAACUCAUUUGUCACUAUCUUAAAAACCGGUCCUGUCAUGUAUCCGUACGCGAAACCAGAAUCUAUCAUGAGACCACCUCGGCCGUCAGAUACUGGAGCCAGAUACUUGCUUGGAAUCCCGAGGAGCGUGUUCCCGAUCUUGAUAUCUUCGACACCCAAGUAGUAGUAAAUCGGGAAGUCAGGAGGGUUCUUGAGAAAGGGAGUAUAGGAAAGUCCUUUGGUUUCGCCAUCACUGUAGUCCAAAAUCAACUUGCUGCUGUUCCGGGUGUCAUCGUAAUCGUGCGAAUUGAGACAGUAAGCAAACUUCUUCACACCCAUCUGCAUUGGCAACGAGAACAUUGUGCGACCGAACCCCGCAAGUGCGUCAGAAGUAGGUACACGAGCAGCGGAUGUUGUACACCCAACAAGAAAUUUAUGAAUGGUUUUCCCGGGAAAGUUGAGGUUUUCUAAUAGAAAAAACCCAAAUGCUGCUCCUGUGCCAUACUGAAGAGUGUAUUGUGGGCAAGCGUGGGAGCAUUUUUUGGAAUUGCCAUUGCAGCGGGGGCACCCGAGGUAAACAUCUGGGGAGGAAGUGUUUGCACAUUUGGGAUCUCUGCACCCCAAGAUCUUAUCAGAUGACGAAAGUUCGGGAUUGAAGAUAGGGACCUUUUUGGGGUUUGAAAAAGAACAGUUAGUGCAUGUGUAGUGAGUUGUGCACGGGGCCCAUACUACAUGACUUCCUGUGUCCACCAGGAAGGAGAGUUUUUGUGGAGGAGUGCCGAAGCUGAGAGGGAUGGUGUGACCCCCAUAACUAUGAGGAAAAAGAGAGGCUUUUACGAGAGGACUGGUCGUACCAUGUUUCAAGUGAUGGGCUCUGGACAAGGAUGCAGAGGCAAGGUGUUGGAGAAAGACCCUGGGUUCCGUGGAUAGUUUGCUUGUAAAUGUUGAGGUUAGAGGGAUGGUAAUGGUGGCAGGUAUGUUAUCAUUGGAGGAGGAUGCCAAGAAAAGGAUAGAGAAGAGAGUAAAAACAGGGAAAAGCAAAGAAGUAGAAGAAGCCAUGACUGUGAAGCUUCAGAAGCGCACACCAGUGAAAGUGGUAGAGAGAGUCGUUUAUAUAGACAAUGACAUGCGUGGUUUAUAUGUAGUUAUUUUAAAAUCCAUUGUCAAUUUUAUAUGGGAAUUUCAAAGUGCCGAGAAACAAAUGGAGAUUUGUAUUAUAAAAAAAUUAUUAAAAAGAUUUUGUUAGUAAAAUAAAUACAAAAAUAUGAUUUUAUUUAUUUAUUUAUUUUUUGCAUUGAAUAUUAUCCUGUCCUACCCAUCUUGCUUUUAUACUAAACCCGUGGAAUUCACUUUUAAUGCUGAAUAAAUUAUUUUUUAUAUUGAAAGUUUAAAAUUUAAUUUAUUUUUUCAAGAAGACAAGUUUCACGUUAUUUUUUAGAUUAUUUGUUAUAGGACUUUUUUCAAAAAUAAUUAUUAUAAUCAUAUAAUAAAUCAGUUUUGGUAGAGGUGAACACAUGUGGUCCCAUAUUUGCAUUGGUGGUGGCCUCUAUCAUGUUGAUAGAGUGACAAAUAUGAUAUAUUUUUAGAUUAAAUGACUCAAAUAUUAGGAAACAUUUUUAGAUUAAAAAACUAAAACUAGAUUAUGUGGUUGAAAUUAUCAAUGUCAAAUGUAAAGUAUGAUCGCUACUUUUGGAAGCAAAUAAUAAGAACCCUUGGUACAAAUUUAUUUGAUAUUUUAGGUCUACACCAUAAUUAUGAAAAUAUAGAUAUUUUUUUAAAUGCAACAUUAUUUAAUAAAAGUGAGAAAUAAAUGGAGAUUUUAAGCCUUGAAAAAUAUUUAUUUAAAGAAAUUCAAAAAAUAAAAUAAAUUUACAAAUUGUGAUUCAAUUUCCACUAUUCAUUGUGUAAUAUUAAAAUUCAAGUGCAAUAAAACUAUUAAUAGGGGGUAGUGAAACCUUUAAGCACUACUACAAAAAUAAUAUAUGAUGUCACUAUUUAUGGUAUCGCAUUUAAAAUAAUGACACCAUUGAACUUAAAAUUUAUAAAGGUGACACAUCAUAUAAAAAAUCUUCAAUUAGGAUAGUUAGAUGAUGCUAAUUUCAGAUUUACGAUGUCAUUUUUUGGAAGUGACACCAUAUGAAAUAAAAAGUUUUAAAUUUUAUAACUCAAUGGGCCCUUUUUAAAAAUAGUGAGUAGGAACAAUUUAUGAAAAGUCCAUUGUUUCCAUAUAUACAUUAACUAAUAUAAAAGAUCUUAUUGCUUAACCCUAACCAUCGUUUUCUUCUCCUUCUUCUCACACCCAUGGUCGGCACACCCAUAAUUAAUAUUCUUUGCUUCGUAAAAUCUCGGGUAAGUCAAAAUCUCUUAUCUACCAUCUUCAUUUUUUUUAUUAAUGCAAAAAACUUUGUUUGUAUAAUUGUUUUAUAUCUCUUGAUUUAGUAUAUCUAUGAUGUGGGUUUUGUAAAUGGUGUUUUUUAUCGAGUUCCAAGGAAGUAAAAACUAGGUUUAACAUUCUAACAUAUUUUUUGUUUCAUUGCUAAUAAGCCCCAAACAAAUGAAAACAAGAAAAAUGAAUUAUUUUUUAAAAUUUUGUCUAAUUGAGAAUGAGAGAUACACUAGUUUGUAGUAAUUUUUCGCAUGAAAUAGUAUUUUAUUGAAGACUUGACUAUAUUUGAUACUUUUUUCCACCGUGCUAGGAGCUUUUUGGUGAAGUCUAACAAUAGAGAUUGACAUCUACUACAAGAUGAUACUCAAUUAAUCUAAAAGCACUUAAGUUAUUUAGGGUUUUCUUCGGUUAACCUAAGAAAACAUUCCCACUUUCUUUGUAUUGAGUCACCUAAAUAGAAUAGAAUAUUGGGUAUCAGAGUCGUAAAGGGUAUUAUAAAUAUGACUCUUUUUUUUUAGAGUCACCUACAUGGAAUGAAUUAUUGGUAGGUGAACAAAAUAUUGGGGUGAUUGUAAUAGUUGAAUUAGUAAAUGGAAGAUAAGUGUAUGUUGCUUUGUUUAUUCUAUAAAAACAAUAAUUUUAGUAGUUGAAAUUUACAUGCUUUGUUGUUUUAUAAAAACAAUAAUUUUAGUAUUUGAAAUUUUAAAAUGUGAAUGAAUGUCUGAAAAUAUGUUUUGAAAAUAGGAUAGUAAUAAUGGAAAAUAACUCAUUUCCUAAAANNNNNNNNNNNNNNNNNNNNNNNNNNNNNNNNNNNNNNNNNNNNNNNNNNNNNNNNNNNNNNNNNNNNNNNNNNNNNNNNNNNNNNNNNNNNNNNNNNNNUAUAUAUAUAUAUAUAUAGAUAUAAAAUAGACUCUUGAUAUUAAUAAAUAAGUGAAUUUUUCUCUAAAAAAAGAAUAAAAUAAGAAUUUCUCUAUAUAAUAAAAUAAUUUAUAUAUGAGAUAGUUUUCAAUAAGAAAGUUUUGAAAAUAAAUUUGGGAUAAAAUAUUUUUUAGUAAGUUUUGUUUAGAUAAUUCAAGAAUAAAGUGGUUUAUUAACUUUUCUUAAAAAAUAACAUUCUUCUUUCUUUUUUGAAUUGAUCAAUUUUUUUAGAAAUAAAAUUGUUAGAUUCUAUUUUUUGUAAAUGUUUAAGAAAUUCUAAAAAAUUCUUUAAAAAUGAAAUGACCUUUCUACCACAUUCCUUGUAAUAAAUAAUUGUUUUUUUUUAUACAUAUUGUAAAGUAAAAAAAAAAAGUCUUUGUUUAGUUAACCUAAGAAGACAUUCCUACUUUUCUUUGUGUCGAGAGUCACCUAAAUGGAAUAAAAUAUUCAAUAUAAUAGGAGAGUAAAAAGUAUUGUAGAAAUGAUUUUGUUGAGAGAGUUAUCUAAAUGGAAUGAGAUAUUGGUAGGUGAAUAAAAUAUUAUGGUGAUUGUAAUAGUUGACUUAGUGAGUGGAGGAGAAGUGUAUGCUUCUUUGUUUAUUCUAUAAAAACAAUAAUUUUAGUAGUUGAAAAUGUGUAUGAAAUGACUGAAAAUAUUUUUUGAAAAAUAAGAAAAUAAUAAAUGGAUAAUAGCUCAUUUCCUAAAAAUCUUUUGAUAAAUUAAAAUAACUUGUAGUUAAAAUAUAUUCUUAUGAAAGUAUUUAAAAAUGAAUCAAUAUAUUAAUAAUUGUUAUUUUGUUUAAAAAUAAUUUAAUAGUAAAAAAAUAAUACUAAAUUCAAAUAUGACUACUUUGUUAUGAGAUUCAUUAAAGAAAUAAUUGUUGAUUUUACAGUUAUUGCAUCAAAGGUUUUACUCGUUUAAUGAAUAGUACAUAAUUUCAUACUUUCAAUUAUUGUGAUAUUAAUGUUAUUCUCAUUUGAUUUCAGUUUGAUGACAAAUAAAACAUAUUCUCAAGUAGAAUUUGAUGAAAUUAGAGAAAAAUAGAUUACUUUUGUGUUAUAACUAAUCAUGAAUCAUAUUGAUGUAUCGUGAUCAUUCAUGAUAAGUCCCUAAGUUGUUAUAUGAUUGAAUUUUCCAUUGAUAUUGUAUAACAUUACUUAUUCUUUACGAACUAUUUUUAUACCAAAAUGAGAAAAAGGAAAAAGAAAAAGAAAACAUUAGUACUUAGAUUUGUUUAUUGUUUAUAACAUCACAUUUUUAUUUUCAAUAAGAACUCUAAAACUCAUUAAACUAUGAAAUGCAGGUAUACACUCUUGGGAGGACAAUAUGAAGAAUAAAAAGAAAGGAGAAAGAGGCAACAAGAUUUAGGUUUUUAGAUAUGACUCUUAUGUCAUACAUUAUAGGACAUAAAUGUUACUUUAUUUGGAAUUGAGAAUUUUGGGUUUUUGGAUGCAACUCUUGUGUCAUUUUAUGGUUAGCCGGUUUUAUGCAUAUGAAAUGCAAGUAUACAUGAAUGUUGGGAAGCUUAACAUUUCUAAAUCAUGUUUUAAUGUGUAUUCACUUUUCUUUUUUAGUUUUGAUGGGUUUGAUGUGUUUGAUGUACUAUCAUUUUGUGAACAUUUGAUAUACAAAUAUUAUUGGAUGAUGUAAUAUGUUACAAAUUAAUUCAUAAGCAUUAUGAAAAUAUAAGUUAAAUGUAAUAUGAUUAUUAUAUUUAUGGACAAUUUACACAGGUUAGUCUUAUUUAUUAAUAAGCAUUACAAAAAUCUACAAACUAAUCAACAAAAAACAACCAUAUCUUCCAUAAUCAUUUACAAUGAUGUGACACCAUAAAUUAAAGGUGAUACAUUUAACGUGACACCAUAACUCAAAGAUGAUGCAUUUAAUAUGACACCUUAUAUAUCUCAUACAACUCUAUAUCAAAUUAAGCAUCACUAAAAAUAUAUGGUGUCUCUUCUGAAUGUGUCACCAUUUAUCUACUUUGGUGUCGCUUCCAAAUACGUCACCAAUUGAUACCCUCUAUGGUGUCAGUGGAUAAGGUGACGCUAUGUUGUAGUGACACCCUAUGUUUAUAGUGACUUAUUAUAAAUGUCACCAUAUAUCUUUUUCCUUGUAGUGAAGUUCCGAAGGAUUAGUUAUGGUUUUAGUAUGAGAUUUGUUUUAAAACUUUUAAUAAAUUUAAUAACAUCCCACUAUGCAUUUAUACUAUUUGUCAAGUAAAUAAGAACUUAUUUUCCUUUGAUUUCAUUUAGUUUUGAUUUUAUCGAUCUUUAUAAUUAUUUUAUCUUUUAUCAAAUAAUUUGUUCACUUUUAUAUGCUUAAGGCCAUAGUUCAGCUCAAGUGAGAAAAAAAAAUCAUUGCUAAUUCUCAAUUAAUUAAUAAUAAUUUUUUUAAUGUAAAUUACCCAUUACAAAUUUAUCACUUUUUUGAUAUUCAUAUUUUAUUUUAUUUUUUUUAAAUCUUUUAUCUAAAUCUAACUAUUAGAUUUUUAUUUUUUUUCUUAACAUUAAAGGAGAGUUGAUGCACCCGUCAAAGUCUUCAUCUAUAAUAGAAGAAAAACGACAAAUAUUUUGUUGUUGAUUGCAAUUCUCAUUAGCUGGACCUGCGUCUUAUACGUUUUUGUAGGUAACAAUGGUUGUCACAACUAGGAAGAGUCGUGGUUGUCUCGGCUAGGAAGAGUUGUGAUUGUCUUUGUUAGGAAGAGACAAUAAAAUCUUUGGUGGAGGUGAAUACAUGUGGUCCAUGUUUGCAUUGGUGGUGGCCUAUAUCAUAUUGGUGGUGCCAUAUAUAAUAUAUUUUUAGAUUAAAUGACCCAAAUAUUGGGUAACAUUUUUAGAUUAAACAACUAAAACUAGAUUAUGUGAUUGAAAUUAUCAAUAUCAAAUGUAAAAUAUGAUUGCUACUUUUGAAAGCAAAUUAUAAGAACCUUUGAAUAGGUACAAAUUUAUUUGAUAUUUUAGGUCUGUGCCAUAAUUAUGAAAAUAUAGAUAUUUUUUGUUUUAAAAAAAUGCAACAUUAAUUAAAAAAAAUGAAAAAUAAAUGGAAAAUUCAAGUCUUGAAAAAUAUUUGUUUAAAGAAAUUCAAAAAAUAAAAUAAAUUUACAAAUUGUUAUUCAACUUUUGAGUAUUCAUUAUAUAAUAUUAAAAUUCAAGUGCAAUAAAACUAUUAAGAGAGGUAGUGAAACCUUUAAGUUCCAAAAUAUUAGUUAUGUUUUUAGUAUAAGAUUUAUUUUUAAACUUUUAAUAAAUUUAAUAACAUCCCACUGUGAAUUUAUACUAUUUGUCAAGUAAAUAAGUACUUAUUUUACUUUGAUUUCAUUUUGAUUUUAUCAAUCUUUAUAAUUAUUUUAACUUUUAUCAAAUAAUUUGUUCACUCUUAUAUGCUUUAGGCCAUAGUUCACCUCAAGUGAGAAAAAAAAAAAUCAUUCCUAAUUCUCAAUUAAUUAAUUAAUAAUAAUUUUUUAAUGUAAAUUACUCUUUACAAAUUUAUCACUUUUUUUAUAUUUAUAUUUUAUUUUUUAAAACCUUUUGUCUAAAUCUAACUAUUAGAUUUUUUUUUCUUAAUGUUAAAGGGGAGUUGAUGCACCAGUCAGAGUCUUCAUCCAUAAUAGAAGAAAAAAGACAAAUAUUUGGUUGUUGAUUGCAAUUCUCAUUAGCUGGAACCACGUCUUAUAUGUUUUUGUAGGUAACUAUGGUUGCUUCGGCUUGGAAGGGUUGUGACUAUCUUUGUUAGGAAGAGACAAUAAAAUCUUUGGUGGAAGUGAAUACAUGUGGUCCUAUGUUUGCAUUGGUAGUGCCCUAUAUCAUAUUGGUGGUGGCCGAUAUGAUAUAUUUUAGUAUUUUAGAUUAAAUGACCCAAAUAUUGGGUAACAUUUUUAAAUUAAACAACUAAAACUAGAUUAUGUUAUUGAAAUUAUCAAUAUCAAAUGUAAAGUAUGAUUGCUACUUUUGGAAGCAAAUUAUAAGAACCCUUAAAUAUGUACAAAUUUAUUUGAUAUUUUUGGUAUGUGCCAUAAUUAUGAAAAUAUAGAUUUUUUUUUUCAGAAAAAUGCAAAUUAAUUAAUACAAAUGAGAAAUAAAUGGAAAAUUUAAGUCUUGAAAAAUAUUUAUUUAAAGAAAUUAAAAAAUAAAAUAAAUUUACAAAUUGUGAUUCAAUUUUUCAAUAUUCAUUAUAUAAUAUUAAAAUGAAAAAUUCUAGAGUACCAAAUUGAUACUAUACCAAAAAAAAAAUUUUCUAGCCGUUGGAUGUCCAAGAUUAGAUCUUGACCAUUCAUUUUAAAUUUGGGGGAAAAAAAACCAAGAUAACCUGUUAAGGAAGUAAUUAGUUCUCUCAUUCUCUCUUCUUCAUUUUGUCUUUUUUGCCUUCGUUGUGACUUCAUUUUGUCCAUUUUUCUUCCACAUGGACUAUAAAUGCACCUAUAUUUUAAAAUAUUAUAAUUUCAUAUUGUUUCAUAUAUAGAGUGGCCUAAUGAUUUUUUUUUUUUCCAACAUAUUGAUGAGAAAGUGCAUAAAAUAUGUAACUACAGUUAAACAAUUAAUAUUUUACUUUCUAUGCUAGCGCUUAUCAUUUCUCAUCUUUUUCCAGAUUUAACACAUGAUUUUAAUUAAUGUCAAUGCUGCAAGCCCUCUUUUUAAAAGAUAUUUACAAAAAAGCUUGGGCAUUGUAGUUUAGAUGGAGAUUGUCAUUAUAUUUAUAUAUGUUACCUGCGAGGUACCUGGAAUCUACACCAUUUUAUGUCCUAAAAAUUUUGUGCCUAAAAAGCUUUAGCAUAUACCAUAUUUGUAUACCAAUUAAAUGUCAUGUCACAUUGCAUAUACAAGAUUUUAUUGAUCCAACUCCGACCCUCCAACUCAUGUAAACAUGGAUAGAUCCAAACCAGUGGACAAGGUAGAAAAUUUUAUUAUGGGGGUAAAAUAGGAAAAUUAUAAAUUAUAAUAAUAUUAGAUAGAAUUCAUAAUUUGAAAUAUUUUAAACUUAUUUUUUAUAUUUUUAAAAUAAUUUUUAUCUAUAAUAUUUUAAUUUUUGAUCAUUCUCUAUAUUUAUAUAAUUAUUUAUUAAAAAAUAAGUAAAAUAUGCUAUCAUAAAUUCCUUAUUUUAUAUUUUUAAAAAUAGAAAAAUAUUUUCUAUUUUUUUUAUUAUCAAAUAUGUUUUCUUUCUUUUUCUUAUUUCUUAAAAACAUAAAAGUAUUUUUGAAAACAACUUCCAAACAUACCAUAUACAUCUCAAACUUUUCAAAUUUUUAUAAAAAGAUAAAUUUGAAAGAGCAUAUACAAAAUUUUUAUUUAAUAUAACCCUAUUUUUUUAUAAUUUCCUUAACACCUAUCAUUGUGGCUUCCAAUUUUAAUCACAAUUGUGAAUUGUAAGAGGCAAUUGAAAUCAAUGUACUCCAUGUACAUUAUGCACUAUUUUAUCCAACAUUAACUUCUAAAAAUAUUUUAUUAAAAUGAUUAAAUAACACCUAUAUUUGGAAAAAUAAAUUUAAUAUAUAUAUAUUUAAAAGUAAUAGGUUGACUCGCCCUUUAUACAAUAGUGUUUGUUGAUUUUUUAAAUCAACCAUGAUGGUGCUUUCAGUCUUUUAGUUAGUUUCCAAAUCAGAAAACACGAGUUAUGUCAGUGUAAAAAUCAUGGUGACCAGGUGAGGAUGUAUGGAGGUACCACUAGUCGAUGGUACUUAGGGAAUGUCUCAUUUCUUUAUUUAGGGUUGGAAUUGACUACAUCCUCCCAGCGUACUUGGUCAACACAUACCUAUUUUUGGUACCAUCAAUAUUCAUUCUUUAAAGUUUGUGUUUUUAAUAACCUUUUAAUAAUCCAAUAACCUAAAUUUUGCAAUGUAGAUGAUAAGCAUAAAUAUAAAAUACUAAAUUCAUAUUUAAGAAGAGUAGUAUUUUAUUUAGACAUGAGAUUGGAAACACGGGCUCCAACAAUACAAUAUUGUACUUAAUAAAAGCCCAGCUAGGCCUCGGCACUACUCUCCCAACUGCCACCAUAUAAUUGCAUUAAUUUCAUUUUGCAUGCACGCACCUUCGUAAUCCACGGAAUAAUGGAUGGUUCCGGGGUGAAUUCCAAAACGUUGUGGCAUCAGCGAUGAUUGGGAAAGAAGCGACUGGGAGCUGGGAGACAAAAUAAUUCUUUCCCGGCACCACCAUAUGUGCUCGAUCCGCUGCUAAAUUGGUAAGUUAAGUCCAGGAUUUUUAUGGAGUUCUCGCUCGUAAAGUUGUAACAGAGUGUCAAACCGGUGGCAGCUUCGAGUUCAAUAACUCUUUUAUACUUGGACAUCUGCUUCUUCAACUCAGCUGCCACAAUAUUAAAAACCGUUCUUGUCAUGUAUCCUAAGCCUGAGUCUAUUAUGAGCUCACCUCUCCGGUCGGAUCCCGGAGCCAGAUACUUUCGUGGAAUCCUCAGGAGUUUGUCGCCGGUCAUGGUAUCUUUGACACCUAUGUAGUAAUAAAUUAACAGGAAAGUCAUCUGGGUUCUUGAGAAAGGGAGCUUAGCUAAGUCCUUUGGUUUCCCCAUCAGGGUAAUCCAAAAUCAAUUCGCCGUGAGAAUUGAGACAGUAAGCGAACUUCUUCACACCCAUCUACACCGACGAGCAAUGAGAAUAGUAUGCGACUGAAUCCCGCAAGUGCCGUUGUUGUACGAAGUAUGUGGAUGAUAUAAUUCUCCAUAACGAUGAUAAUACAAUUCCUAUGAUGUCCAUCUAUUGAUCAUGCAUGUAAUUCUAUUGUUAUUUAAUAAUAUAAUAAUAUUACAUCAUAUAUUUUUAUAUAUGUAUAGACGUAAGCAAAGUAUAUGCAUUACCGAACCGUUCCUCUUAUCAUUUUGUAAUUAAAUGAGUGUCAACAUUCUCACAUCCAUUAUUUUUGUUCUUGAGCAUCUCAUAAAACAUCAUUGUCGGGUAUUGUAUGACCAGAAUUUAAUGCAUAAUAUUUCAAAAAAAAAAAUUAAUUUUUUUUAUAUUAAUUAUUUGUCAUGAUUUAAAAGAAAAGGCCCAAUUGGAAGCACGGGUACGUAAUCAAUAUUUUUACCCAUUUUUAUAGGAUCUAUGUGACUAAUCAAUUUUCUUCAUAAAAAAAACAAGCAUAAAAAAUCUUGUUAAUUUUAGAUAAAAUUAUGCCCCAUACAACUAUCAACCUAAUAAAUCCAUAAAUCAAUUUAUAUCACAUACAAUUCAUUCCUUUCUAUUAAUGCAGAUUGGAUAAUAAUAACUACUAUGACAUUUGAAAGGGCUAAAAGUUUGAUUCACCUCGAUAAAAAAGGACUUUAAAAUUGAACCUCCUUCGAGCAGUUCAUGGAAAAUUCCACACUUGAAAAAGUUUGCAUAAAAAAAAAAAAAAAAGUUACUGCAAGCAUGAGAAAAGCCAUAAAUCAUAAUCCCAAGGCAUAUCAAGUUGCCAUCCUGCUGACAAUGAAAAAGGAAGAAAUAAAUCCAAUCAAGGAAACUUCCUAGAAAAUCAUAUCAGCUACCACUCUACUCUAACAAGUGAAACAAAGGGGGAAAAAAUCAAUUAAGGAAACUUCGUAGAAAAAGCCAACAAGGAAGUUUUCUUGAGUAAGUAUAAAUAAAAGCUAUAAAUAGUAAAUACUUAUGGGAAGGAACAAUCCAAUUGAGGAAACUUCCUAGAAAAAGCCUAAAAGGCAAACAAGGAAUUUUCCCGAGCACAAAUAAAAGUUAUAAAUACUAGAGGGCAAGGGGGUAAAGGGCAAGUCUCUCUUCACUCGUUCAUCCAAGGGCGGAGUCAACAUAUGCUUUGGGAAAUUAGAUAAGUAUUGUGUAUGGACACAAAAUAUAUUUAUAAAAUAUUUGUUUGUUUUCAUUUUUAAUUUAAGUUUAAUAUUUAUAAAAUUAAAUUUAUUUAAAUCCUAAUAUAUAUAUAUAAUAUUCUUCUAAAUAUUUUUUUUAUAUAUAAUUUUGUAUUGAAUACUUUAUUAAAUAUUUUUUGGUGGUAAGUUAUCUUUUAUUUUAUUUUAAGAUUUUAAAGUUUUUUGGACUUUUAGGUUUAAUCAAAUACUCACUAAUUUAUGAAUAAUUAUAUAAUUAUGAUAAUUAUAUCACUCACAACUCUUUUCUCUUAUACCAAUUUUUUAUAAAAUGGAUAUUCCCUCUACCCAUAAUUUUUUCCAUCUAGAGUUUUUUUUACGUAUAUCUAUAUGUUUUUAUUCAAUUUUUUCUAUUGUUUGUUCUCGUUGUUUCGUAACAUAUAUUAUAGAUAACAUUUAAAUAAAAAAUUUAUUACUAUCAAAUGAUUUAUUUUUUAAUUAUUGAAAAAAAAUCAAAGAAAAAUUAUUAGAGAAAUUAUUGAAUUUUUCUAAAAAGUUCUCUAUAACAAAUAUUUCUAAAAAUUAUUAAAAAUAUUUUAGUCAUAUUUAUUACAAUAUUUUUAAGAGUUUUAAAAAAAAUAUUAUUUGAACUUUUUAACGAACUUUUUGUUAAAAUCUAAAACUCUUUAAUAUGUUUGUGAUUUAAUUUGAUAAAUUAUAAUAUUUUCUUUUUUUAUAUAUAGCUAAUGUCAAUAAUUACUUAUUUUAUUGAAUGGAAUAAUGUUGUAGAGUCAUUUAUAAAAUAUGAAAAUUUAUCUAUAUUUAUUAUAAUCAUCGUAUACUAUUUCAUCCCAUCACCAAAAAUUCUAGCUUUGGUUUGGCACUGCAUCCACGACAAACAAAAGUAAUUUAUCUUCUUCAAUGAGAGUAAAAAGGGGUAACUCCCCCCUAAGGUUCCCCUCUAUCAAAUCCAUCUUUGUAUCUACCAAACAAAUUAAUUCUCCCCUCUCUGCCAAAUCCAUCUUUGUAUCCACCAAAGAAAUAAAUUCUCCUCUCUCUACCAAAUCCAUGUUUGUAUCCACCAAACAGAUGAAUUCUCCCCAUUCUAUUUCAACAUCAAAAUGACGUAUGAGUGGCUUUUGGAUGUAAAAUUAAUAGUUACGUAACAUUAGGAUUUUACGAAGUGGAAAUAGACUUCUAGAACAAAUAAAAUUUUAAUUACAGAUAUUAAACAUAUUCGAUAAUUAUAAUUUUUUUUUUUAAAAAAAAAAGAAAAUAUUUUUUUUGCUAAUUAAUUAUAUAAUAAAUAAAAAACUAAUGAUUUCUCAACUAUCUUUAUUAUUUAUAUGCAAGAGACUAAUUUUAUAGAAAAAAGUGAGCUCUCAAGCACACACUUGAAAAUAAUCCAAUAAUAAAAAUACUUUAAAAAUAAAGUUUUAUAUGCUGGAAAAUUAAAAGUAGUAUUUAAAAUUAUUAAAUGUAAUACAUAUAUUAUUAAAAAAAUAGUACCUAUAUAAUUAAUUAAAAAUACAUAAAAUUAUAAUUAUUUUUUAAGUAAAUCACUUAAUUGAAAAAUAUAUAAACUUCUAAUUAUUUUUAAAUAAAUUUUUAUUAAAUUUAAAUUUUCUAAACUCGGAAUUCUUAUUUUAUGAUUUUUUUUAAAGUAUAAAAACACACUUUUUUCAAUUUUUUAUUAGUUUGGUGACCAAGAAUAGGAUUGGGUGGACUCAUGGGUGUAAUUUUUCAUUUUAAAAUUUGUUUAAAAACUCCGAGAAUAAGAGUUCUUUUAUACCUUUAUUUUUUAAAUUUUUGCUAUGAAAUUGCGAAAGUAAAAAAUAUGCCAUUAAACAUGAUUUUAAAAUUUUUAAUUAUAAAAAUAAAAAUACCAUCGAAAGCUCCAUAAUUUGUAUUUACUAAGCUUCUUUUAUUUAGACCGGAGACUGUAAACACAAAGCCUUUCCGGUGCUCCAACAGUACAGGCAUGUCGGUAAUAAAGAGUAGGCAGUAUUCUCCCAACUGCCAUCUUCCUCUUACAUUACUUAACAAUACUGCAGGAUCCUCCUAGGUUCCCAUUAUUUACUAUUUCUUUGCCGCACCCAACUAGACCCAUUGGCAUGGAUGUCAUAGACUAGCAAGUCUGUCGUCGGAACCCAAGACGCUCAUUUUUGAGGUCAUACUCCACAUAAUAAUCCACAUGCUGAGAAUUCCCCAGAAUAAUAGACGGUCCCGGAGUGAAUUCCAUAGUGUUGUUGCCUGCAUCAGUGACCAUGGGUAAACAAGCCACGAGGCUUGUCUCAAGCCUAGACAUUAAUAAAUAAUUCAUUCCUGCGACCACCAUAUUUGCGCCACCUCUAAAUUGGUAAAUUAAGGGGGGGAUUUUUAUGGAUUUGUGGCCUGUGAAAUUAAAACAAGGCGUGAGACCGGACUGGGUUUCUGCCUCGAGAGAUCUCCUAUACUUGGACAUCUGCUUUUUCAGUUCAUUUGUCACUAUCUUAAAAACCGGUCGUGUCAUGUAUCCGUACGCGAAACCAGAAUCUAUCAUGAGACCACCUCGGCCGUCAGAUCCUGGAGCCAGAUACUUGCUUGGAAUCCUGAGGAGCUUGUUUCCGAUCUUGAUAUCUUUGACACCCAAGUAGUAGUAAAACGGGAAGUCAGGAGGGUUCUUGAGAAAGGGAGUGUAGAAAAGUCCUUUGGUUUUGCCAUCACUGUAGUCCAAAACCAACUUGCCGCUGUUCCGGGUGUCAUCGUAGUAGUGAGAAUUGAGACAGUAAGCAAACUUCUUCACACCCAUCUGCAUCGGCAACGAGAACAUUGUGCGACCGAACCCCGCAAAUCCGUCAGAAGUAGGUAGACGAGCAGCGGAUGUUGUACACCCAACAAGAAAUGUAUGAAUUGUUUUCGCGGGAAAAUUGAGGUUUUCUAAUAGAAAAUAUCCAGAUGAUGCUCCUCCGCCAUACUGAAGACGGUACCGUGGGCAAGCGUGAGAGCAAUUUUUGGAAUUGCCAUUGCAGCGGGGGCACCCAAGGUGAACAUCUGGGGAAGAAGUGUUUACACAUUUGGGAUUUCUGCACCCCAGGAUCUUAGAAGACGACGAAAGUUCGGGAUUGAAAAUUGGGGCUUUUUUGGGGCCGGCAUCUGAAAAAGAACAGUUGGUGCAUGUAUAGUGAGUUGUACAAAGAGUCCAUACUACAUGACUUCCUGUGUCCACCAGGAAGGAGAGUUUUUGUGGAGGAGUGCCGAAGCUGAGAGGGAUGGUGUGACCCCCAUAACUAUGAGGAAAAAGAGAGGUUUUUACGAGAGGGUUGGUCUUACCAUGUUUCAAGUGAUGGACUCUAGACAAGGAUGCAGAGGCUGAAAGUUUUAGAAACUGGGUUUCAGAAACUGGGAAAAACCAAUAUUUCUCAUUGUCUAUUAAGAAAAGAUGAUGAGUAUUUUUACACUGACGUUUUCUUAUAUUUAUAUCUACAACAACCUAACUAACUAACUUCCUUCUUCAAGACGUUCUUAACCGGCUUCUGUUUGUUGCAGCUGACCUCAGUUUGUUGCACCUGAUCUCGGUUUGUUGCAGCUGACCCCGGACAGUUACUUUCUUGUUGAUCAGCUAGGUAUCUUCUAUCAUCCCCCCGCAAGCUCACAGGGGAGGGAACAACAGAUAGCUUCGUUCUGAAACUAAGGAACUGGGAGCUUGAAAUAUGUUUAGUGAAAAUGUCAGCAACCUGUUCAGCGGAAGGAAGAUACUGAAUGACGAGCUGUUUACGAAGAACAUGAUCCCGUAUAAAGUGAAGAUCCAUUUCAAUGUGUUUGGUCCUAGCAUGGAACACGGGAUUUGCAGCCAAGUGAGCUGCACUUUUAUUAUCACACCAAAGUAGAGGUGGAGAGGAGGAAGAGAGACAAAGUUCUUGUAGAACAUAUUGAAUCCAAAUCAUCUCUGAAGUAGCAGACGCAAGAGCACGAUACUCAGAUUCUGCACUGCUGCGAGACACAACCUUUUGUUUGUUGGAAGACCAUGACACUAAAUUCGGACCAAGGAAGAUGCCAUAGCCACCGGUGCUUCUUCUGUCAUCUGGACAAGAUGCCCAGUCGGCAUCAGUAUAGCCAUGAAUAUCCAACGAGGUGGACUGCUGCAUCUGAAUGCCAUAGGAUAAAGUGCCUUUGAGAUAUCGUAAAAUCCGUUUCACAGCAAGCCAAUGAGUAGUAGUGGGUGUAGCCAUGAAUUGACAAGCCUUAUUAACAGCAAAAGAAAUGUCUGGUCUGGUAAGGGUAAGAUACUGAAGCGCACCAACCGUGCUGCGAUAUAAGGUGGCAUCCGAGAAAGGUUCACCAUCCAGAUGAGAUAAUGUUUGUCCUAACAGUCCCGGAGUAGUAGCAGGCUUGGAGUCUAACAUGGCUGUGCGAGAUAAGAGGUCUUGUGUGUACUUGUGCUGACUGAGAUGAAACAUAGUACCAGAACUAACUACUUCUAUGCCCAGAAAAUAAUUGACAUAGCCCAGGUCACGAAGAGCAAAAGAAUAAUUCAGCCGAGUAAUAAAUGAGGAAACUUGAGCUGAACUGCUGCCAGUUACUAGUAUGUCGUCUACAUAAAUGAGUAAAAUAAGGACAUCAUGUGUUGAAUGAUGAAUGAACAUCGAACUGUCAGCUCGAGAAGCUUGAAAUCCCCAGCCAAGAAGUGAAGUGCUGAGUUUGUUAUACCAUGCCCGGGGGGCCUGCUUAAGGCCAUAUAAAGCCUUGUUAAGCUUGCAAACAUGAGAAGGAUAUUGAGAAUUGAUAAAGCCCGGGGGUUGUUGCAUAAACACAUGCUCUUCAAGAUCUCCAUGGAGAAAGGCAUUCUGAACAUCAAGUUGGUGAACUGACCAGUUAAAUGAGAGUGCAACUGCAAGUAUAAUGCGGAUAGUAGAAGCCUUGACAACUGGACUAAAAGUCUCAAAAUAAUCGAGACCCAGAGUUUGAGUAAAUCCUUGUGCAACUAACCGGGCCUUAUAGCGAUCAACUGUUCCAUCGGGUUUAUAUUUGAGUUUGUAGACCCAUUUACAACCAAUUAUAUUGCCAUUGGAGGGUGGUGGAACUAGAUGCCACGUGUUGUUUCUUUGGAGAGCAGAAAACUCUUUUUCCAUGGCAAGAACCCAAUUUGAAUCUUUAACAGCCUGUGUGAAUGUAGUAGGUUCAGAGAUGUGAGAUGAGAAGUAGACCUUCUUCUUGCUGAUGCCAUUCUUUGCACGUGUGACCAUGGGAUGCUGAUUAGUAGGGUGAGGUUCAGAAGUGGAGAUGUCAGCAAAAGGAACUUGUAUCAGGUCUGGUAAAGAAAUAGUGGAGGAAGGCAUAUUAGUUAACGGUGGGCUUGAGGUGGAAGGAGUUGUAUGAGAACGUAGUGAGGACACGGGAGGAGAUGAGCAAGGAAGAAAGGCUGGAGUGGGGAUAGUAACUACAGAUGAGGAUUGAUCCGGAGUAGACUGAAAUGGGAAUACCGUUUCAUGAAACACAACAUGCCUAGUAACAUAGAGACGGCCUGUCAAGGGGUUAAGACACAUAUAGCCUUUGUGAUUGGAACUAUAGCCAAGGAAAACGCAUUGACUGGAGCGAUAGGAGAGUUUAUUUUUGUUGUAUGGUCGAAUAUAAGGGUAGCAUAAGCAACCGAAAAUUUUAAAGAUGUGAUAAUUUGGUGAUUUGCCAAAAAGAAUUUGAAAGGGAGAUUGAUAAUUGAGAACCUUAGUAGGUAGCCGAUUUAUAAGGAAAAUAGUUGUAUGAAAUGCAUAUAGCCAAAACUUGAAAGGUAAGGAUGCAGUGGCUAAUAGAGCAAGACCAGUUUCAAUUAUAUGUCGUAAUUUGCGCUCCGCUCGACCAUUCUGUUCAGGUGUGUAUGGACAAGAAAACUGACUUUUAAUACCAUGCGUAGCAAGAUAUGAAGAGAAGGCUUUAAAUUCACCACCAUUAUCAGACCGUAAACAUUGUAUCCGAGAAUUAAACUGAUUUUCAACUAGACUUUUGAACUUUAUGAAUACAGAUAAUGCUUGAUCUUUGCUGUGCAAUGGAUAAAUCCAAGAGAAACGAGAGAAAUCAUCAACAAACAAAAUGAAGUAGCGUGCACCAGUUGUGGACGGAAUGGAAGCAGGGCCCCAAAGAUCAGCAUGAAGUAAAGCUAAAGGAUGAGAAGCUCUAGAAACAGACACAUUGAAAGGCAAUUUAUGACUUUUUGCAAAUUGACAAGCACAACAGACAUUGUUUUUAUGGCAUUGAUGUGAAAUAUUACAAGAGGUAAGAAUGUGUUUCAAGAUAUUAUCAGCAGGGUGUCCAAGCCGAGAAUGCCAAAGUGUAGUUGUGGUUGUUAAAGAAAGAUUGGAAGACCUGUCAUAACUGGAAGAAACAAAAGCUGCAGGUGAAGGCACAAAUCUGGCAGGGAAUCUAUAUAAGCCAUGUUCAAGACUUCCUUGAAGAAGUAUCUUCUUGGUGACCUGAUCCUUGACAAAAAAGAAUCGAGGAUGAAACUCAAAGAAAGUAUUAUUAUCGGCACAAAACUGUGAGACACUAAUGAGAUUAGUAGCAAUAUCAGGAACGUGAAGUACUUGUCUCAGUUGAAAGGUUUUAGAAGAGGAAGGAAAGAAAGUAGUGCCUGUAUGUAAAAUACGAAGGUGCUUACCAUUCCCAACAAUCACCUUGUCAUUACCCAUGUAUGGCUGUACAUCUGAGAGUGGAUCAAUACUUUGUGAUAGGUGAUGUGUAGCACCAGUGUCAAAAAACCAUGCCUCAUCAGAUAUAGUGGAAGGAGAUGCCAUCAUAGCUUGUACUUGAUUCUUGGCAUUUGGUUUAUUGGUUUGAACGGUGUCCAUAUUAGGGUUGUAGCCUUGGAAGUUAAUAUCAAACCUAUGGUAGCAGCGAACGACGGUGUGCCCAAACUUGCCACAAAGCUGGCACUGUGGUCGAUGCUGAGAUGAUUGUGAGCGCCCACCAUUUGUACCUCUUCUUGUGUUGAACCCAGACUGCCUAUUUUGACCAGAGGAUCUUUUAUUGUUAAAAUGUUGAUAUUGUGGUGUAGCAAGAUUAGCAGAGAUGACGUUAUCUUCUGCAACUGAAUUCUGAAAGCUAAGUCGUUGUUCAUGGGUGAGUAAAAUGCUGUGUACAGAGUGGAGAGACAUCUCAUCUUCACGUGCUGUAAGAGAGGCUACUAUGGAGUUGUAGUCUGCCCCAAGACCUCCAAGAAGUUGGAGGAUUUGAUCUCUAUCAGUCACAGGUUCUCCAAUGGCCGCCAAAUUAUCGGCCAAACUCUUUAGUUUAAGAAUGUAUUCCAUCAUUGUCAAUGAACCUUUCCUUGUGGUUUGGAACUCUAGGCGUAGUUGCAUCACCCUAGCCCUUGAAGAAGCCGAAAAGAUUCGUUCUAAAGCAAACCAGGCUGCAUGAGAGGAUUGAUAGCCAACUAUCUGGCCCAUGAUUUCAGGAGUGAGUGAGGAGUAGAUCCAGCUAAGGAUCAUGCGAUCGAAUCGUCGCCACAUAACAAAAUCUGGGUUUGUUUCUCCAGAACUUGUUUUCUGAGGUGGACAAAUUUUCAGACCUUCAAUAUGAUCUUCAAAACCAUUGGCAAAGACAACGUUCUCCAUUUGUGUUCUCCAAAGAAUGUAAUUGUUUCUAUCAAGUUUGAUCGGCAGUGCAUGAUUCAGCAUCUGCAUUGUUUGAGUAGCACCGGUAGAUGAAGGUAGGGUACCAGCUUGUAACCCUGAUGACUGUGUUGAACUCAUCAUGAAUAGAAUAGAGGUUAUCUACAAAGAACUAAAACUGAUAUGAAGAAGAAGAAGUCUUGUAAAAAAAAAAAAUACCAAAGCUCUGAUACCAUGAAAGUUUUAGAAACUGGGUUUCAGAAACUGGGAAAAACCAAUAUUUCUCAUUGUCUAUUAAGAAAAGAUGAUGAGUAUUUUUACACUGACGUUUUCUUAUAUUUAUAUCUACAAUAACCUAACUAACUAACUUCCUUCUUCAAGACGUUCUUAACCGGCUUCUGUUUGUUGCAGCUGACCUCAGUUUGUUGCACCUGAUCUCGGUUUGUUGCAGCUGACCCCGGACAGUUACUUUCUUGUUGAUCAGCUAGGUAUCUUCUAUCAGAGGCAAGGUGUUGGAGAAAGACCAUGGGUUCCGUGGAUAGUUUGCUUGUAAAUGUUGAGGUUAGAGGGAUGGUAAUGGUGGCAGGUAUGUUAUCUUCGGAGGAGGAUGCAAAGAAAAGGAUAGAGAAAACGGUGAAGACAGAGAAAAGCAAAGAAGUAGAAGAAGCCAUGGCUGUGUAGCUUCAGAAGCGCACACUAGUGGAAGUGGUAGAGAGAGUCGUUUAUAUGGACAAUGACAAGCGGUUAGGCAACAUUUAUAAUCCGUGGGCAAUUCAAAGUGCAGAGAAACAGUAAAUGGUUUGGUUUGGUUUUUUUAUUAUUAUUAUUAUUAUUUUUUUAAUAAAAGAUUGUUGAAGAGAUUGUUUGAAAAAUAAAUGUAAAAUUAUGUCAUGUUUAAUAAUUUUACUUUAUAUUACAUAUUUUACUUGUGUGAUAAUUUUAUGGAAUUCACUUUUUAUAUUAAACUCUUCUUUUUAAAGAAAGAUUUUAUUUUUUAUAUUGAAAGUUUUUCAAUCAACCUUAUCUUUCCAAAAAAUGAGUUUAACGUGAUUUUUAAAAUUACUUUUAAUAAAACAUUUUUACAUUUUUUGUUAAAAUAUUAUUAUAAUUAUUCAAAAAGCUCAACAAAUGAACAAUACAACAAUGAAGUGACACUAUUAAGUAUUGGAAGAAUGCAUGCGUAAUUUUUUCAUUAGAAAGAAACAAGAACAUUAAGCGGUUUACACUUUUUCAAAAAUGCUUACGGAGAAGAAAAUGGAAGCUGACCCAAGCCCACCCCUAAAAUUUCAUGGACAAGAUUAAGGAGGGCGUAUAAGUCUUCAAUUAUCAUUUUGGUUUUUGCUUUCAAUACCUUUUUGGCUUUCUUUAAUUAGUUUCGAAUUGGUCCCUAUUCUAUUUUUCCAAUACUUAGAUGCGAAGGUUUAAUACCCUACUCCACCAUUCCCUUGUGAGCUCAAAUAUCCUUUUAUCGGCAAAACGACAGAAUGUAUUUGAUUGACCAAAGAUUCCAUUAUCUCUUCCUUGUGGAGACAACCAUGCUUGCUUGCAAAAGCAUACAUGGCACAAAUCCAUGUGAAUGUCAUCACCAUCGAAAUGUCUUUUUCCUUGGUUUGUUUCUUUCUUUCUUUUUCCUUUUGUUCCGUUUCUUUUUUUCUUCCUUUUAAACGUCAUGUUUUGUAUUUGUGGGUCAUGUCUUGUGUGUGUAGAGACCACAACUCUAAAUCAUGUAGUUUAUUGCUACUUUUGUGGCUAGGUGUAUUUUCUCUCUGUGAGGAGACUCUCGGUCGCUGAGUCAGCUCCUCUCUAACCUUAAGAGUUAGAUUUAGAAAUAAAGAUAUACCAGGAAAAUAAAAUAAAAUAUAAAUAUUAAGAAGUAAAUUUGUAAUGGAUAAUUUUUAUUUUUUAUUUUAAAUUAUUUUUUUAUGGAAACUGAAGAAAAUUUUGUUCAAUUUUAAUUAAAAGAAAUAAAAAUGAUGAAGUGUUUUAAUAAGAAAUAUUGGAUUGUAUCAACAUCUUCGUAUGGUUGACACCAAGCCUCUUGUGGUGAUACCUUACACUCAUGAGUGCCUAUGGCAUGUGGGAUAACAUGCCAUGAACAAAACAAGGUGACAAGCGAGAGUAAGGAAUAUGUUGAUGCAAAUGGAAUGAUGUCAUGAGUUUAGGUAAAUGCUAGAUAAUGGCUUAAGGGUGGUAGUAUGUGAUGUCAUGAGUUUAGUCAUGCAAGCAUAGACAUGUAAGGCACCACGUGGGUGGCUUAACUCAUAAAAAAAAAUCAAGUAUGGGAUUUUUGGAAGUUGAUAUUUUACUUCAAAGAAAAUAACUUGAGAAAAGGUUUUUAUUUCUGUAAUUUUAAAAAAUUCAUUAUGAAAUAACUUGAGAAACACCUAUGAUAUCUUCUCCUCACACAUUGAAAUAACUUAAAUGCUCUUUAGGAAGGGAUGUCUAGCUCAAAGGUAGUGAUGAAGGCACAAGUUAUACAACAUCAAAAGCACAAUAUGAGUCUCAAGCACCAAAAAGGUGUGAUGGUUUUUCUUGUUAGCUCACACACAUAAGUGUAAUGUCAUAAGUAUGGUGCAACAUGUGGGCAUAAUGACACAUGAUUUGGCUAUUGUACACGUUAUAAGCUAUGCAUGCCUUGGAUUGAAGAAUCUAACAAACUUGACAUGUACAGGACAAUGAUGUAAUGGGCAUGGGAUAAAAAAAGAGCUAGUGCACCAAGAAAAUAUUACAAAAGUAUGUAGGCUAAGAGAGGGCUUGGCACAUAUGGGCUACUUACACACAACAAUAGGUUGGAUGACCCUCAUAGGCACGACCAAAUAUAACACUUGCUUUAAGAAAAGGCCAAGCGAGGGCUAACAAUAAGGCAUAACACAUGGAGACACAAGGUUGGGUUGAAGAAACAAUGAUAUGAAGGGGAUAUAAGUAAGUGUAAAGGCGACAUGACAACUAAGUGGGUCGUUGAGCUUACAGGCAGGUGGCAAGAUCAAAAGUCAACAAUGCAUGUAGCAAAACAAAUGACAAAUGACUAAAACCUUUGAAAGAGUCCAUAGGAGAGAUGGCAAUAGUUAAACCAUUUGACUUCAAAUUUGAAGGAGUCUACUUCCUAUAUAAGACGGAGUUGGUUAACCGAUCUCUAUCACGUGGGUAGGGUUUGGAUGCCUAUAAAUACUUAAUAUUUUCAAAAUUAAACUAAUAUACUUUUGUGUCUUAUGUCUUUAAAACUAUAUUUCCACCUUCCUAAAUGAGGUUUUUGCCUAAAAGUCUCACUUUUCCAUAGAAAGUCCCUUUAAAUUUGCUCUAACCUCAAUCUAACCAUUCUUGGCAUGCAGAGUAAAGACAAAAAAUAAAUGGGCAAGCUAGACAAAGUGUUUUGAAUCAACGAGAUUUUCUCUCUUUUAUAAAUGUAUUAUCUCUUCUACAUGGUCAACCUCUUGCAAAACCUCCCUUCUACUCUAUCUUAAGCUAACAUGAACUUAAAUAGAGCACCCAACGACAUCUCUAAGUAAGUCAAAAGAUUUAAAACACCUAAACCAUUAAUUUCUUAUACUUUAAGUUUGAUUUUCAAGAAUUAAGUUAAGAAAUGGUAUAAGUCAAAUUGCCUAUAAAUAUUGCAAAAAAAAAAAAAAAAGGAAAUAUAUAUGUAAAAUUUUCAAACUUGUAAUAUAAUCAAAAAAUAAAAAGAAAUGAAAACAUAUAGCUAAAUAAACUCUAUAAUUAUAGGUAUAUAAUUAAAGUCAAGCAAAAGAAUGAUUUCUAACAAUUAAAUAAAAGAAACAAUAAAGAAUCUUUCAUAUUAUGGAUGAUUUUGAAAGAUUGAAAGAGAAUGAUGAGAAAUCAAGUAUGGCUUAAUGUGAUUAAGAAUGAGUUGAGAGGUCGACAAUUUAUGAGAUUGAAAGAGAAUGUUCAAAAAGAAAAGUACAAAAAAUAAGUUUGAGAAAUUGAAACUUUAAGAUCUUGGGAAAGAAUGUUGAAGACAAAUGUAAAAAAAAAUUAGAAGCAAUAAUAUUUAGAAAACAUUAGACAAUUAAGAAAUAAUGAGUCAAUUAAAAGUGAGAUUAAAAGAUUCAAAAAGAUCGAGAAAAAAUAUAAUUAAGAAAUAAUCAAUGCAAUGAUAUGAAUUGUCAUUUCUUUUAAGAAAAGGAAAUAACAAAGAAGAUUAAAAUAUUUUGAAGACAUCGCAAAUUCUAGAGAAAAAAAAUGAUUAAAAAAAAAAGCAUAUAUGUCAAUUUGAUAAUUUUGUUUUCUUGGUUACAUGUUGAAUAAUGAGGGUGUAAAGUUGAGGGAAGUUGAGGAAAGUUUACAAUAACUUAUUUUUUAAUAGUACAAGCAAAAAAUUAAUACACGUUCAAAAGGAACAUAAAUAGAUCUUAAGGGUAUACCAAGCCGUCAAUCAAAAAGCAACGUUAAACCUCAUUAUAUACAUGCUAGAGAAACACAUAAACACAUGUAAAAAUAAAAUUAUUACAGAAAAACCAACAUCAAUCAAACAUAAGAAUAGAGAGUUAAACGCAAUCAUAAAAAUAACAUUCUUUGGACCAAGUUACUAAAGGUAAUAGAAAUCAAAUAUUGCUAAGGAAAUACGAAAUAUAGGAUAAAAGAAACCAACAAAAGGAUAUCCAAAAAAUCUCAAAGUAAGAGAACAUAAUGAACUCAAUAGCAAGAAAUACUAGCUAAGGGAAAUUCAUGGAACUAGAUUAUGGAGGGCAAUUAUGAAAAUAUGGGAGGAUUUUAAAAGCCAAGUUCACUUUAUUAUAGAAAAUGGGAGGAGAGUAAAGUUUUGGUUGGAUAAGUGGUGUGGUGAUGCUUCGUCGAAAGACUCUUUUCCUUCUUUAUUUAGCAUAAUUAGUUAAAAGAUGUGUGGAUAACAAAUAUGUGGGAGCAAGAUAGGGAUGGAGCACAUUGAAAUCCUUACCUCUCAAGACAAUUCUAUGAUUGGGAGUUAUAAAUGGUGGAAGUUUUUCUAUGAAAACUUCAAAAAAAAAAAAAAAAAAAGUAAUAAGACAGGCUAUAGAAGAUAGGAUGGUAUGGUCGAACUUGAGGAGUGGUAACUUCUCAAUUAAAGCUUUCAACUCUUUUUUAGCACUAGAAGGUUCACAACAUUUUCCAACUAAAGUUAUUUGGAACUCUUAGAUCCCAACGAUAAUGAGUUUUUUUACAUGAGAAAUAACAUGGGGAAGAAUAUUGACAUUAGACAAAUUGAAAAGUAGAGAGGUAUAAAUGUUAUAUGUGUAAAAGAGAAAAAGAAUUCAUUGAUCACAUGCUUCUUCAUUAUGUUUCAAUAGGAAUUCUAAGGCAGUUGGUUUAUUCUAUGUUUGAGAUACAUUAGGUGAUCCACUCUUCAACUAGAUUGAUGUUGCUAGGUUAAAAUAGGUUCUACAUGCUCAUUUGUCUUUUUUUAGAUCUUUUGGCUAAAAAGAAGUUAGAAAGUUUUUGUAAAUAAGGAAGAAUCAAAACAAUCGCACUCAAAUUCUUUUUUGUGUAAUUUUUUAGAAUGUGUUGAGUCAUUGUAUAACAGGUUUUUCUAACUAUAUGAUGGUUUUUAUUGAUUGGUUAGGAUCAAAGUAGGUGUAGGAAUGUGUUGUCUUUUUUUGGCUGCUCUUUGUGCUUGGUGCCCCUAGUAUACUCCCUAUGGUCUUUGGCAAGCCUUAGUUGCAACCUUUUUUGUAUUUUCUUUUUUUAUAUAUUUAUAUAUUUUAUUUAUCAUGUGUUUAUUUUUUAGCUACCGAUUUUCCUUUUUUGGUUGCUCUUUGUGCUUGGUGUCUUUAGUAUACUCCAUGUCCUUUUAUGUUACAUUAAAGACAUCUAGUAAAGGUUAGAAAUGGAAUUUGUCAAUACCUUGUUUUGAGGGUGAUCAAUGAACCUAUAAUAUGUGUAUAAUACAUAUGUGUAUAUAUGGGAACUCGAAUGUGUGUUAUUCUGAAAAAAGGAAAAUUGAGGCACGAUAUAAGAAUUCCCAUUACCCAAUUUCAAACACGAUAAUUCACAAUACAUCUUACAGUUCCAAUAUUAGUGGGAUUAAGUCUUGGUAAAGUUGCCCAUAGUUGUGCCCAGGUUAUAAGAUCAACCACUUGACCCAAUGCUUCAACAAAAGAGACCCUUGCCUAUUACGAACAAAUUAUUUCAAAAAACAAAAUAUAAUGUAAUUAAAAAAAAUGUAAAAAUCUCAGCGUGAAAAUUGAAUGUUUAGAAUGUUUAACCAUAAAGAAAACCCAAUUUUUCAAAAAAAAAAUUCUUAUGUUAUUUAACUAUAGAAGAAUUUUGGAAAAAUAAAAAAACAAAAUAAAUAAUACAAUAUUUCGUGUAACGUGGAUGAUAUAUCACCUAAGCAUGUAGAUAGAGAAAAGCAUGAAAUCCUAACUCGACUUUUCUGGUUUUGUUCCAAUAAUAUGGAUACAAUAUGAAUCUUAUUUUAAAAAGCAAGCAAACAACAAAAAUUUACGUUUAACAUAACAAUAAUACAAAUUAAGAUAAUAACCAAUAGAAUAGUAUGUCUUUAGUGCAACAUUAGAACAACAGGUUUUCUGAAAGGGAAAGGACAAGGAUAAAAGAACAAUGAAAUUUAUUCAAGUAACCUUUAGAUCCUCGAAGUUUCCUAAACUCUCAACAAAAGUUCAAAAGUAGAAUUCAAAAUUGCCUAUGUAAAUGAGAAAUUAAUUUCAGACAAAACGACUAUGUAAAAAUCAUACAAAUCCAAACAUAAAAUAGGAGAACACAUAAAAGCAUAAAAUUGAUUUCACAUCACAUCAGCAUCAAGAAGUGAAGUCAAUGGAAAAUCCAUAUUAUAUUGCCAAGAAGGCUAACACCUACACUUAAAACACUGGAAAAUGCUUAACAUAAGUUACAAGCUCAAGCUCAUUCCUUACUAAAUCAAAAAGAGAAAGAAUAGUGAAUAUAAAGCAUCUCUACAACAAAGUCACCAUGAGAAAAGAUUUGCAAACUCAAAUUAAUUUUUCUUUUUUUUAAUGAAUGAAACAUUAUUUAAAACAAGCCUUGAACUUAGACCCAAAAAGUGAAAAGUAUAUCAACUAAUCAUCUUCUUUUAGUAGAUAAAAUCCUUUUCAACUGCAACAAAAAUAUAAGAUGGGAUGAUGCCAAAACAACAAAUUCUAGCUAAGAAAAAAAUCAUUUCAUGGCUAACCUAAAAAAAGGCAUAGCUACAGUUUGGAAUGUUGGGUGAAAUUGUUCAGCUUGACAACCAGAAUGAAAUGUAGGAAAUAUUUCAUAUAUAUAUAUAUAUAUAGAUAACACGUAUGAUGCUACCUCCUCAGUAAAACUCAAAACAAAUCAAUCAGCAUGGUCAGAAGAACAUCCCAAAGGUAAAGGUAAGUCUGGACUAUGUCAAAACAUUUAAUAGUAGGGAUUUGGAAUGAAAACAUGGAACUAUUGAACUAAAGUUAAACUCUCUAGCCAUCUAGUCCUGUCUAAUUCAAGAUACCAAAACAGAAUGAUUUACAAUAAAUCAAGUGCCAAAACAUUUUUAUAAGCAUAGUAUGCCUAUAACAAUGACAUAAAAGAAUCAACCACAUCAUUAGCAAAGACUGGCCAAUGUGCAACUUUGACAUUUCCAAGUAUAGGCAGGACUUGAGAAAGUAUACCUUUUAGUUGUGAAGUGCAAGGCUUCAUUAGAUUUUAGAGAACAGGAGACACUUUAGUUUAUGGAGAAAACUUUCAUACGACCCAAACACCGUCAUCUGAAUAUAUAUUAUAAAGAAAAAAAAGUUUAAUGAUUAACCAUCAGCAAAAGCAAAAUCUGAAAGAAUUUGAACCAUGGCAGGUAAAGCUUAAUUUGGAUCUAAUAAAUAAAGAAAUAUUUCUUUCAUCAUCUGCCAAAGAAAUAAAAAUAAAAGAAGCAAAAAUCACUAAAUAGAAAACAGAAAUAUUGAACAGCAUAUCCGUCGAAAAAAAGGGGUAGGGAGAGUAAUUUGAAGUCAAAUAUUACACAACAUCAAAAAGAUCAUAUACAUUGUAACAAGAAUGUACAUAUAAAAAAUGAAAUGUUAAAAGAGCCCAUGGUCUCCUCCAUGUACUUUCUUCUAGGGUUUAUUCUCUAUUACACAAAGAAAGUCCUCCAUGCCAUGCAAUCGCACGGAAAGUCCAAACUGUGGGAUGGCAUGAUGCUCAUCUCAAAGCAAGAACUUAUAGAUUUAGAAGCUGGACUCAAUAGCCCACUUAUUCUCAACUAUAUAAUAUUAUAAUGUCCCUUUUGUAUGAAUCACCCAAGAAAUGAAAGCCUUUGUUUAAAAAAACAAGUUCUAUAAUAUGUAAAGAAUAGUUAUAAUGGAAGGAAACAGAGUUCUUCCAAGGGAAUAACUUAGCUCAGUGAUAUGACAAUACAAGUAGAAAACAAGUUAAAAAGGAUAAAGCAAGACUACUUGUGCUCCAAGUCAUGAUGGGUAAUUGUGACCUCCAGUGAGUCCUUACCAAGGAAAAAAGUAAGUGUCAAUCACCUUCAAAUCCAAUGUCUUCUCACAAAAACUGUUUAGCAUAUGAUCUUAUCAAUCUUAGAUUUAUUCAAUCUCCCAUCCAAAACAACAGAAAUCUUGGUACAAAACAAGAAGAGUAGUAAGCUCUAAAGGAUAUCUCUUCACCCAAUUUGGACUGGAAAGGAAAUCCAUAAAUUUUGUCAGUUGAGUGGCAUCCUGGUCAAUUGUGUGGCUCCAGUCAAUGCUUUGGGUUGGUCUCACCUCCUUACCCUUUUUGUUGGAGUAUUUGACUCCUUUUCUUCCAUACACGGCACUUAUAAAUUUUUCAAGUUUUAGAUCAGAAUCACCUAGACAGAGGAGGGUGUGGAGGAGAGAAUGCCAAGAAAGGAGAAGAACCCGUCACAACUAAAACACCUUGUAUUCUAACUAAUCCAAGAAAUUGCAAGUAAAAAUGAAAUAUGAGGUCACUUCCACAGGUUCUCCAAUAAUGAUUCACUAUUAUCUUAGACGAAAGCAAGUAUUUCAACUAAAGUAACAGUUUUCAGUUUCUAAGUGAUUAAGCAAAUCGACAAAACUUACUAGGUCAAGCAAAUAAGAGCCAAUGCAAACAAGUACCUGCUGCAGCCCUUUGCUAGUCUGCAUUGAGUUCCUACAUCAAAGAUGAAAAUAAAAAAAUAUAAUAAUGAUUAGGAGCGAUCCAUGAAAUAUCAAUUUGCAGUAAAGAAGGAAUCAUGAUGAAGGUGUUGUUCAACUUGAUAAAAACAUAAGGCUGUCAUUGCAUUGAGUGUUAUCAGUGUUUUCCAUAUCAAAUAAAAAUUAAUGGUACAGAUCAGUGCAUUACUUGAAAGGCUUGCCCCAGCUGUUGCAGACUUACAGUAAGUUACACGAUUCCAAGUACUAAUAAAACUUAUGUUGGAUUCUCAAAAAAUUUUGGGAAAUAUGAAGAAAAGAAAAUAAAGAGAAAAAGUGAAAGAAAAUAAAAAAAAAAAACUAAAAAAAAAUUAAAUAAAAUAAAUAAAUUAUUUUUAUAUAUUUUUUAAAAUUUAUUUCACUUAUUUUCUUAUAUAAUUCUAAUUAAUUUUAAUUAUAUUUGAUUUUCUUUUAUAUGAAAUUAUACGAAAAAACCAAAUAUAAGAAAACCAUUUCUUUUAAUAUUUUUUUGUUUCCUAUUUUCCAAAACCAAACAUAACCUAAAUUUUAUAGUCAACCCUAGAUAUUGAGUUUCUAUUUUAAUUUCAAAUAAAACGUACACAAAUAAAGGGGGCUAAAAUUCAAAUAUAUCAGCCAUUUUCAACCUCUCAAAACAAUAGCUACGUAACUUAGGGUUUUGAUGCACCUUGGACGAGAUCAUCUCUGCGGUGGCGAUCUUGGCCAGAUUUGCCAUGAAUGUUGGAUCGACGUCUCUCUUUUAUUUGGAAUACCCCAUCGUAUUCCCAAAUGACUGAAACAUUUUCAAAUCAAAAGCCUAAUUAAUAAAACACAUUCUUUGAGAGAGUGUAAUUUAGAUUCCAAAGAAACACCAAAGGUAAAGAGAACAAGUACCCGACGACCUCCUCGAGAUAAGUAGAGCAACAUUCAAGUACCAAAAUAGGGUUUCUGCAAUCGGGAAAACAUUAGAUCCACGAAUCAUUCGACGUAUAUAGAUAUAAACAAAGAGAAAAUGAGGAAAGAAUGGGACAUGGCAACGAUGCCUCUAUAAGUGCAGCCAUGGAGCUUGUCUGAUCAUAUGAGAUUCAUCUGCGAGCUGCAAAACCAAAACCUGCAGGGCCUCUGAAACAAGCAAAAGCGUAAAACAGUAAUAAACCGUUCAAAUCGGAGAAGUAAUCGUAAUUAGAUGGAAUUUACAGAACUGAAAGAAGCCAUUCCGGCUCCAACCAGAUCGUCUGUUCUUGACCGUUGGAGUCGGUGAGGGCGCACACACAUAUAUAUAUAUAGACAUUGGAGCCUUUUUAACCGCCUCCAGCUGGCUCUCUACAUACUUUUUAUUUUUGAAUCCUAUUUGAAAAUUGAAACUCCUUCCCCGCUGGCUACAUACUUUAAUCAAAUUAGAAACCUUCCUUUUGCAAGAUUUGAAUGAUACGUAUAUCUUAUUUGAAUUUUUUAAAAAUGUCUUCCUUUUUCAUGUUAUAUUUAAUAAAUAUUUCCUUUCACUAGCAACUAAACAAGACAUUUUAUUAUAAUAAAUUUGAAUUUUUUUUUUAUUUUAAUUGCUUCUAUUAACCUUUAUAUAUUUUUCGAACAAGAUAUGUUUUAGUCAACAUUGAGUCUAUCAAAUUCAAACCACUCAAAACAAAUACAACUUGUAUUUAUAAGGAUGGGAUAUAUAUGGCAGACUUUAACUUUAGUGUCAUCAUUUUUUGAUUGGUUUUAAUUAAUUAAAACAAGAAAAGGUUUUUUCUCCAAAAUUGGACUAGUCAGAGUAGCUUGUUGAACAAUAUGUCAUUAGACAUGAUUUUAAAAUUUUUAAUUGUAAAAAUAAAUUACCAUCGAAAGCGCCGCAAUUUAUAUUCACUAAGCUUCUUUUAUUUACACCGGAGCAUGUAAACACAAAGCCUUUCCGGUGCUCCAACAGUACAGUCUUGUAGGUAAUAAAGAGUAUGCAGUAUUCUUCCAACUGCCAUCGUUCUCUUGCAUUAUUAGCCAUACUGCAGGGUCCUCCUAGGUUGCCAUUAUUUUGUACUAUUUCUGGGCGGCACACAACUACACCCAUUGGCAUGGAUGUCAUAGACUAGCAAGUCUGUCGUCGGAAGCCAAAACGAUCAUUUUUGAGGUCAUACUCCACAUAAUAAUCCACAUGCUGAGAAUUCCCCAGAAUAAUAGAUGGAUCCGGAGUGAUUUCCAAAGCGUUGGUGCCAUUAGUGUCCAUGAGGAAACAAGCCAAGCUUUCCUGAGGACUUAUCCCAAAAUAAUUCUUUCCUGGCACCACCAUAUUUGCGCCACCUCUAAAUUGGUAAAUUAAAGGGGGGAUUUUUAUGGAUUUGUGGCCUGUGAAAUUAUAACAAGGUGUGAGACCGGUCUGGGUUUCUGCCUCGAGAGAUCUCCUGUACUUGGACAUCUGCUUUUUCAACUCAUUUGUCACUAUCUUAAAAACUGGUCCUGUCAUGUAUCCGGCGCCACCGUAACCAGAAUCUAUUAUGACACCACUUCUGCCGUCAGAUCCUGGAGCCAGAUACUUGCUUGGAAUCCUCAGGAGCUUGUUGCCGAUCUUGAUAUCUUUGACACCCAAGUGGUAAUAAAACGCCGAGGCAGGAGGGCUCUUGAGAAAGGGAGUGUAGCUAAGUCCUUUGGUUUUGCCAUCGCGGUAGUCCAAAAUCAACUUGCCGCUGUUCCGGGUGUCAUCAUAGUCGUGAGAAUUGAGACAGUAAGCAAACUUCUUCACACCCAUCUGUAUCGGCAACGAGAACAUUGAGCGACCGAACCCCGCAAGUGCGUCAGAAGAUAAUUCACGAGCAGCGGAUGUUGUACACCCAAGAAGAAAAUUACGAAUUGUUUUCCGGGGAAAUUUCAGGUUUUCUAAUAGAAAAUACCCGGAUGAUGCUCCUGUGCCAUACUGAGUACUGUAUGGACAAGCGUACGAGCAAUGUUUGGAAUUACCAUUGCAGCGGGGGCACCCAAGGUGAACAUAUGGGAAAUAAGUGCUUACACAUUUGGGGUUUCUGCAGUCUAAGAUCUUAGAAGACGACGAAAGUUUGGGAUCGAAGAUGGGGACCUUUUUGGGGUCGGCAGCUGAAAAAGAACAGUUGGUGCAUGUAUAGUCAGUUGUACACGGGGCCCAUACUACAUCACUUCCUGUGUCCACCAGGAAGGAGAGUUUUUGUGGAGGAGUGCCGAAGCUGAGAGAGAUGGAGUGACCCCCAUAACUAUGAGGAAAAAGAGAGGUUUUCACCGGAGGGUUGGUCUUACCAUGUUUCAAGUGAUGGGCUCUGGACAAGGAUGCAGAGGCAAGGGGUUUGCUUGUAAAUGUUGAGGUUAGAGGGAUGGUAAUGGUGGCAG
This 62633-nucleotide long non-coding RNA is filed under the name Vitis vinifera (wine grape). RNAcentral describes it as "long non-coding RNA (VVIN_LNC002599)". Lineage: Eukaryota; Viridiplantae; Streptophyta; Magnoliopsida; Vitales; Vitaceae. The record is from RNAcentral.